Molecule: long non-coding RNA, 53533 nt
Filed under: Setaria viridis
Lineage: Eukaryota; Viridiplantae; Streptophyta; Magnoliopsida; Poales; Poaceae
Description: long non-coding RNA (SVIR_LNC008964)
Source: RNAcentral
UGCAUGUGUGUAUUCGUAGUAGUGAGUGUGCAUGCAUGUAUAUGAGCGUCUUCCUCUGAUUUUGUUGAAAAAAGAACUAGUGAACACUAAAAGUGUUUGAACUCACAUCUUAUGAAGAUAGGAUUCCAUUUAGGUCAUAUCACUACAAGAAUUUUCAUUAUUACUGACGGUUCUUUCAAGUGGUCUACAGUGUCUAGAAUCUAAGUUGCACUACAAGGUUUUGUCACUAACGCAACGGCACAAAAUCGUUGCAAUAGGGGUUAUUUCGUUGCAAUAGGGGUCUAUUGCAACGAUUUCGUGUCGUGGCGCUAAAAAUCAUGUCAUCGUGUAAAAUGGUGUUGCAAUAUGCUAUUACAGCGACACAGGAAGCCGUCGUGUGUCAUCGCAAUAAGUGGCUAUUACAACGCCCAUUGUCAUUGCAAUAGUGGCUAUUGCAACAGUAGGCGUCGUUGCUAUAGUGGCUAUUGCAACGACAUUGCGCUGUUGCAAACAAGCGUUAAUGCAAUGCAAGAAUGUUGUUGCAAUACGAGACCUAUGCUGUUGCAAUAUACUAACAGGCUAUCUCAACGAAAUACUAGUCAUGGCUAUAUGCGUCAACCAUAUCCCAACGAAAUAUGGAUUGUUGCUAUAUGCUCAACGGAUAUCGCAACGAUGAGAAAGCGUCGUAAUAUGCGUACAAGGUAUCGCAACGAUGUACGUGCCGUCAUUAUAUGCUUCAACCAUAUCGCAAUGGAAUAUGUCUGGUGGUUAUAUGCGUACAGGAUAUUGCAACACAAUACGGGUCGUGGUUAUAUGCUCAAUGGAUAUAGCAACGACGUGAAAUCGUCGUUAUAUGCCCAUAUAUCACAAUCAUCAUUUCACCCAGAAUACAUAUAAUAUUAUAUGAACCCAUCAACUAAAAAUAACAGCCAGGUACAUUCAAAAAUAGUUUGACUCCUAUCCAAAAUAACCAAUCAAUGUCACUGAAAUAGUAUAUGAGAACUAAUAAAAUGGUCCGAAAUCAUAUAUAAAUCUAAUCGAUUUCUGUCAAACAAUGUGCUAGCAACACUGUGCACAGGCAUACACCAGUGCCUUCAGGUUCAUAAACACGCUCUUCAGUAGUCAAGGAGUGGACCAUCAUUGACACUGCCCUAUUCGUCCUCAGCUCUGGUUCCAGAUUUACCUGCAUAAACUGAAAGACUUCAUUUUCUUAGUAGGCAGGACUAUAGCAAAAUGUACCUUAGAUACACAUACACACAUAAGAAUAAUAUUCUGAGGUAUACAUUUUUAGUUUUUUUUCAAGACAAGAAAGAAACAGUCACAAUUUAACUACAACAAAGUAUUGCUGCUACAGUUGAAAAGAUGUUCAGAAGAAUAUCAAAGAUGUAUACAUUCAGGAAAAUGUUGGUUUGGUAUAUCUAAAUUUAGCUGCUUCAUUGACAAUCUGCAACAAAAGUUGUAUGAAUUAGGUUAUGAAACAAAAAUAUGCUCAAAGCACAAAGCACCUGACAGGGAUAAUUCAAACUGUUAAGAAGUAUAUACUGUUGUUAAUGUAACACCCCAGGAAAACUAACACCACCUUAGGAUGCUACUAAGCCACACUAGACGGAAGGGAAAUAUUUUGACAGCAUCUCCCCUAAAACAGGAACAUCGUGGAAGCAACAAACAAAAAGAUAUGAAAAAAAAAUAAAGCACACUAGCAUAAAUGAAAGAUCCUAACAUGAUGUCCAAAUGAUUAAAGGUAAGGUUUAACAAAUCUUAGCCAUCAUUAAGCAACAAAUAAACUCUCAUAGAGAAGGACUUAAAUAUUACAGUAUCAUGCUAUUAAGCGACAUAACUCCAUAUGCCAUGCAUUGUGAUGCAAUGAAAUGCAAUGCCAAGACAGAUCACAUGGAAAGAGUAUACAUCGCAUGCACUAGAUAAGUCUCUCCUCAUUUGACAACAUAAACCUCAUCCUAAUUAUGCCAACAAGAGCCAUUACCAAGUUAUAAAGUAAAGAACAAGGCAUAUGUAAUAACAACAGUAAGAUGUGCAUAAACUUGUAAUUGAAUGGAUUAUAUUGGAUAAGUUAUCAUUCUAAAAUUUAAGGUGGAGGUAGAAAACCAUGUGCACAUAGCAAGUAAAUCACUCAUUAGCUCAACCCGUCAAACAAGCAACAAUGGUGAACAUCGCCUAGGCUAACCGCAGCAGCUUUGCUUCACUUUUUGGUAUCUUUAAAAUUAUAAAAGAUAUGACAGCAAGCAAAUACACCUUAGAAAACUAAGGGAGAAAUCAUACAACUUUGUUCAGAUCCUUUAUUUUUAGCAUAAUCCAAAGAGGGGUAAAACUGCAGUUGAAUGUGAAGUACAGAAUCUGUCUAAAAUUUCGGGCAGCAGCAUAAAAAACUUUAUAUCUCCCAAACCCCUUGUCCAAAAAUUCUAAAAUUUUGUUAGGAUAUACAUCUCUGAGAAACCUACAACUUUGUUAUUAUAGGUUUCCACGAAUUCCAUCCUUAAGAUCAUCUAAUACAUCUCUGAACAUCUGCUGUCAACCAUCUGGACAUUCAGAAACAGCGUCCAAACAAUAUUCCAUAACCAAAAGUAUACUCCACAAAAACAUGCGAAACUUUCACAGCAGUUAGAUCUCAUAAUCUUCCACAACUUUUGUACGAUCCACGUUUGGAGGAAAAAUUGUUUAGAUUGCCAAAACUACAAGGACAGCAGCACUGCCCGAGCUACAGGACAACACACCUUAGAUCGACCUUCAAACCGUGUUUUCCCCAACAAAUCCACUAAUACUUAGGACCAAGAACCUUCUAAAAACAUCAAUUAGCAGAUCUAAAGUGGAUUCACCUCACCUUGGUCGUUUCCCAAACCCUAGGGCAGCAGGAAGAUAUGGGGAAAGGACCGAUCUACAUGGAAGAUGCACCUUUCUUGCUCCUCUUGUUGUCCUCGAUCCGUUUUUCUAGUUCCCCGCAAGGGUUUGCUGCUGUAGAGGGGAUUUAGGGAAGGAAAACCAUGGGAGAGCAGGGGAGGAGGAAGAAACGUGAGAAGGAAGAGAGGACCGGUCUGGAUGAGAUGGGCGGGCGCGUGAGAGAAGGAGGGGGGCUGCGGCUGGAGGUGGAGGUGUGUGAGAGGAGAGUUAGGGUUUGUGGGGUGGUCAGCUGAUUUUAUAUCGUAUGAGUGCGAUUAGAACCAUCGUAUCGACGAUAGACGACCAGAAAUAGUUGGGCCAUUUGGGCCAAAAUGGGCUUGAUUCAUUCCUUCUCUGCUUAAUAUGUUUCUUUUUCUUUUUCAUUUUAUUACACCGUCAUAAAGUAACACACAAAGAAAAUUAUCUUAAAUACACUACUAUAUUUUUAAAAUGUAAUAAACAACAUCUAAGUUGUCAUGUAGGAGUUUUAUUAAUUUUUUAAUAGAAUUACUAUUUUCUAUCAUUUAAAUGAAUUUCUACACGCUUAUCGAAAAUAAUUCCAAGUUGAACUAUGUGUACCUCCAAUAAGAUUCAAAAAAAUGCAAAAAAAUUACAUUUAGACUUCUAUGUUCAAUUCUAUCCCAUGUCUUGGAGAUAGAAGAAAACAUCAAUUGUCUUCUAGGGACAAUUCAAACUUCUAUCUCCAAAUUACUACAUAAUAAUUACAAUAAUAUCUAAAUUUGUUCAGAAAAUUCUACAAAUCUACAUGUCAACAUAUUUUGGGUCUAUAAGCUUGACAUAAAACUCUCAUAAGAUUUCACAAAAAUUAGAGUGUACGUUGUUCAUAAAAUGGAUAGACCUCUCACAUUGUUUCACACAAUUCAAGUCAAAUUUUAUGAUUUGAAUACCUCAUAACAUGUUCGAACUUGUAUGCACAUCAAAAUUGAACACAACCUUAUGAUAACCAUAACAUUGGAAAAUAUCAAGUAACAUUAGCAAUUGUUAUGCAAAAACAUGUUUUUUCUAUUCUCUAUUUAGUUGGAAGAAAACAUGUCAAAUAAAAAAAUUCAAGAAAUAGCAAUUAACAUACAAAUAAACGCCACUAAAGAAAAUAUGGCGAUUUUAGAAAAAAUUAGAAAAAACCUCAUCAAAUUUGGAUAAUGUAUGAUGGAUAAAUGCCAGCUACAAAUUUUGAUUCUAGAUUAAAAAGAGAAAGAUCAACUAUUUAUGUGUUCUUUAAUCCAAAUCAGUUGAUCAGUAUUGUAUUGUAUAAGAGCUCUUGUGCUAUGUCAAAGCCCAUCUGAGCUAGUAGCCCAAUGACAAGGUAUGUGUGGUUUGUGUUUGAGGUCAUCGGUUCAAUUCCCUUGACCCUCACUAUUUUUUUUGCCCUAUUUAUGUGGCCUGGCUGCUUGCUGGUCCGGCGCAGGGAGGAAGCGGGCUGAGCGAGAAUGGCGCAGGCGACGGAAGUGGGCCGAGCGGAGCUGGCUUCUCGCUGCUGGGCCGAGAGAGGUUUGUUAAGUAGAAAUAAUGCAACUCUCUAGCACGAAUGUUCAAGUGGUGUGGUGGUAAUGCUAGUACUGCUUAAGACCCCUGGUGCGCUAGGUUUGUAUCCUGUGUGUAGCAUUUUGUACUUUCUUUUUUGCAUUUUCUCUACGAGAGCAGUUCUAUAUAAAAUGAUGAAAUACAAAUAGUACCAAGAAUAAAGGUUUGGCGUAGUGGUAAUGCUUGCGUUUGGGAGCCUAAAGACUUGGGUUUAAUUCCCCAUAGUAUAGAUCUGGGCCAUAGAAUAAAGGUUCUUUUUUUUUCUGGAUCAAUGGGAGCUUAUUUUUCUAUUUUUUAACUAACUAAUUAAUACACGCUUGUGAAGUAACUUUUAAAAUAAUUAUGUUAUAUACCCCAAAGUAUAGAUCUGGGCCAUCUUUUUUUUGUUUGUCCGCGCGGCCUUUACGGCCUAUCUCUUCCUGACCAUCGGAUCCUCGAUCUGACUGAUCGGAUCGCAUCCACAUGAAACAAAAGUCAAACGGAUCCCCUGAAACCCUAGCUCCUAUUCGUUCGCUACCGUGGCAGCCGCACCGCCGCCCGCCUGCGCGUUCUAGUCUUAUCCUUACAGCGGCACCUCUUGCCUCCCUUCCACAGGCCCUGCACCUCCCGCCGCCGCGCCAUCCUGGCCUCGCUGGCCCCCAAAUCGAGCGUGGGAGGCGUGGCCAUGGGCGGCGGAGGCCCCUUUUCCCGGGUCAAGUGGCACGGCAGCCGGGGCACGGCACAGCCCUGAGGAGCGGUGACUAGGCCAGUGUGGCCCGAAUCCGGAGCAUAUCAGAGCAGCACAGCGCAAAUCUGGAGGCGCGGCGGCCGGGGCUGCACUGAUCCAGAGGUGCGACGGUCGGGGCUGUGCGGCCAUGACGACAGACGUGCCUUCGCCUCCGCUCACGAAGUAAACUUUGCAACUCCAAAUUACACAAAGAAAAUAUCUUUGUCUUCUCCAGGUAUAUUGACUGGAGCAACAACUCCAUCACCAAUGUAGGCGUCAUCAGAAUUAUCUUCAUCUUCUGGUAUUUCUGCAAGUCUAUGAGUUCAUUCUCAAUGUACUGGCUCUUGAACUACUCUCGAAGCUAGAUCCUCACCCCUCCGACUACUUCUGUAUGGUCCAUCCGAGGUUGGCGCUUCACUUUAAAGAACUUCCUAAAUAACUGGAAGUGGGACUGAAUACCUAGGAAGGCCUCGCAGAGGUGCAUGAAGAUAGCAACGUGCAAAAUAGAAUUAGGGUUGAGGUGGACUAGCUCGAGAUUAUAGUACCUUAGUAACCCCAGAAGAAGUCGGAUGACAGCAGAGCUAGCCCGCGCUCAACGAACUGCGCGAAAAUGACUGUCUCAUCCGGGUAGCUCUCUGGAGGCCACGGAUUGCUGACUACUUCCCUCCAAUCAGCAAACUCCUUCUCCUGGAGCAGAAUCGCAUUCACUAGUACUUGGACGUCUGCCUCUUUCAAGAUGGAUUUCUUCCCGGCACAGGCUUGAGUCGGCGGUGCCGUCUUGUCGUUCUUCCCGUACUUGGGCGCCAGCAGUGAGAUCUCCUUCUCCUUCUUGGCGACCUUGCACUUCUUGGUGUUCGCCGCUUUGCUUGAGGAUGCUUCUUCUGGCGCAUGAGCUGGAGGGCUAAACAGUUGGGGGGCGAGGGUGGUGGUGCUCGGGAAUGACGAGCGGCAGUGCUUGGGCAAUAGUGCUCGGGGAUGGCAAGUGGCAGUGCUAGGGCAACAGUGAGAAGAUGUGCGGGCGCACUAGCUCGGGCAAAUGGAAGGGAUAAGUUCCUCUGAUAUUUAAAAUCGCGGCACAGUCAACCGAGCAGCGAGAAUAACGGGGAAUAUUCCAUUUUUAAAGCCCAUGGCUAUCGCUGGAACAGUUACUGUCACACCCGGUUUUAAGGACAAAACCAAGUGCUACCUAUUUAUAUGCUAGGAUCAAAUUUCAUACAUAUAGUGACAUCAUUAGUGAAUAACAGCAACAGUAUCACGUAAAAAGAUACAAAUAAAGACUUACAAAACCAUCAGAGAUUACAGCUUUAUUCUGGAAACGGAGGCUCCAAACUUCACAGGCAAUCAACUAGGGGCUGCAUACGCCUAGAACUCAGCAUCAUCUUCGAAAAACUUCUCACCUUCUUCUUCUGAGCAGCAGUAAGCAAGGGUGAGUACACUUAUGGUUGGUACUCAGCAAGACCACAAGGAACAACCAGAAUUAACAAUUUAAGUCCAUCUUUACGUUUAAUUAAUCAUGUGAGGGUCUAGGCCACUCGUAACCAUGAGCACGGCUAAUAUAUCAGUUUUACACUCUGCAGAGGUCACACAUCUUUACCCACAAGUCGCGUAAAAGUUCAGGAGAGCUUUAGACCUAACCAUGCUAUGCAAAGAUUCCCUAAUAAGUAAUAACCCGCUAAGGUUUCCGCAUAAGGGGAUGAACCCUCCCCCAAGUGGUGCGAACACCCCUUGGUUAGACAAGCUAUCGCACAACCUAUGAGCCCCUCUUGCCCUUUCAGCAUGACUAUCAAAAACUAGAGUCUCUAAUUAAUUAGCCAAGACCAGAGCCAUUUAAUCUUAUGGUUGUACUGUUUUCCUGGGUGGUCGCUCCAUGUUCCAAUUAACAUUAUCAUGAUAUUGUGAACAAAGCAUAAGUAGAAGGAUGGUUAGGGACACUUGUCUUUCUCCAAGAAAAAGUUACUCUUACUGCUCUUCAGAUCUUGUUUUCUUGAAACUCUUAAUCUUCAAAUCUUGCGAACAGCGAUCAUUCUACUUGAAGCAAUCAUCGGCACAAACAUACAAGCAAGCAAACAAAUACAACUAAGAACAAUACACCAAAACAAGAGAAAGGCUUUAAAAGAGCGUAUUAAAGGAUAGGACUUGAUUCUAGGAUUUCACGAACGUAGGAAAUGCUUGAAACGGAACUAUGGUUGAAAAGAUAAAGCUAUUGAGUGAUUUGAAUUACAAAAGAAAAGACAAGAGCUACAUGCUGCAUAUGUUUUAGUUGAGAAAAACAAUGUAAAGAUAUUUCAGAGAAAUAUCCUUAGUUAGUAUUAAUCAAGUCAUAUUUAUAUUUUCAUAAGAAAAGAUGACGUAAAACUUAGUCCAAUUUUAUUUAUAAAUAUUUAAGUACAAUUUAUGCAAAUUAAACAUUUAAUUUGGAAAUAAAGUAUAUGUAAACAUAUAAGCGCAUAACUUUAUAUUUCGAGGUCAACUAGGAGAUUAUAUUAAAAACACAUUUAUAUUCAGAUUAGUUGAAUUAACAUUUAAUUUUUGAAAACUCGAGAUAUAACCUAUGUAGCCUUUAUUUAGAAAGCAAAUUGAAUAGAUAUUAAUCAAAUUGAAUUUAAUUUAUGAAAAGCCGAGGUAUCUCUCUAAUUAGCUUUUAAAUGUAAGAACUAUUUAGAUAAGCAUUAAUCAAAUUGAUGUUUAUCAUGAAAAGCGGUGCAUAACUCCAAGUAGCUUUUAUUUAGCGAAGACACAUGUUUAUCAGGUAUUAAUCAAAUUAAUAUCAAAUUUAUUUUCAAAAUCAUUCAUGAAGAAAAACAUUACCACUAACGUGUAUUUUAUGUUAACCUGAACCUGACGCAACUUGAACAAGGUUAAAGGGAGUUAAAACGUGGAAUCUAUGAGCUAAACAAGAUUGUAGGGACCUAUUUGCGGUUAACCGUAGUCUAUAGGGUCUAGCAAGAAAGAUACCUUAGACUCAGUGAAUAGUGCUCGUGAAAAGCUGGAACCUUAGGGUCAUGGCAGGUCGGACGAAGCGGGUCGUCCCACGGGCUUGGCCCAGAAGGAUAGGAUGUAUUUUCCCGUGAACGGAAAAUCCAGAAAGUCCAGAUAAUUCACGAAAAAUACUCCAAAAUUCCAAGAAAAAUCCUGGAGAUAGAUUGGGACACGAUCAAUCCAAAUAAAAUACUUGGAGCUCAUGCAAAGGAUUUUAGAGCCGUCCAAAAAUUGGAGUUAGCUCUAGGAAAAGGAGAAUAAUUUUCAGAAAAAAGAUGGAAAAUUCUCAGAAGGGUCUGAACAACGCCUAAACACAUUUUUAAAACUUUUGCAAUCCUGAAACACCAAGAUGCAUCAGCAUGAAUGCACAAACACAGAACAACAUUAUUUAAUUUAGAAAAGCAAACAAUUAUUUUUCCUACACUAAAUUUCGUGUAAAGAAAAAAAAUGUUGGGAAAAAUUUAAAAUUAUGAGAAAAUCAUUAUUUAAUUAUUCUUUUAAUUCACAUCCUGAAAUUCGAAAAUUUCAGGGUGUGACAGUUACCAAUUUUCUCGGAAGAGAUAAGAUUUCUGAAGGCGAAGCGUCAUGUUGCCUAGUUGUUGAUCCUUGUACCCAAACUAGUCAUGUAACGGCUCGGGGCCUGUGUGCCACGUGCCCGUUGGACAAAAAGUUUUUUCUUUGGGUUUUUAAGGGGAAAAAGAUGUGAAAUUACAAGAUUGACCCUCAGUCUAAUUCUUUGAUUCAACUUAAGGCUCGGGGGCUUUCAUCGCACUUCCAUGGUUCAAGACUAAGUUAAAUGAGGCUUGAGCACCUUCUAGCCGCAAGGUAGUACUCGAGCACAUUCGAAGACUCAAUCUGAUGGAGUACUCAAAAGAACACCACAAACUAGUUAGAGACGUCUACAGAAGUACUUGGGACUGCUGCAUUUGACUAAAAAGUACUCAGUGGCUUGUUAGCCAUACAUCUAUGGGCCCACCAGCAGGUUUGGAUGGUCCUACAUAUAGGGCUGUACACCGAGACGUGUCAGACACGGAGACUAUAGUGCAGGACGGCGUGGUCUGCGUGGAGGACAAGGACUAGUCGAGGAGUAGGAAACUACUCGUAGCGAUUAGAGUAGGACUCUCUAGUCGAAUUCGACUAAAACUCUUGUAAAGCAACCGACCUGUAACCUUGCCCCCGACAAUAUAAGGCGAGGUAGGGACCCCCUCCAAACAUCAUUAAUCAAUACAAUCCAAUCAACACAUAGGACAUAGGGUAUUACGCGACAUAAGUGGCCUGAACCUGUCUAAAUCAUGUGUUUGAGUUCACCUUCGAGUUCCUGAUCUUCGACGAGCCCCACGCAUAAAACACUACCUCGCAUACCCCUCGGUAGGUUGCUAGGUCUAAACAUGGACACUUAUGUUUACAAUAAAUUUUUCAAAUCUCGAUCUUGCUUCGCAUUUGGGAAAGCAAAUGACCUUAAAUAAGCACUUGUUGGGAGGUUGCCUGGAUUUCACAUCCAUGCAGGAACAUGAGAUCCAAAUGGAGAAGUCAUGCCCCAAAAGUUGCAAGUUGGAUCAUCAGCAUGUCAGGUUCAACGUUACCAUUGUGAUCAAUUUUCUACCCAUGAUCAGAGAUGUACAAUAGGAGAAAAUUAGAUAUUCAGAAGUUCCAUCAAGUCUUCUUUCCAACACAUCAAGAAUCACUAAUUUAUUACAUCAGUACGCAGUGUUAUGAUUAAAUCUUUCAACACUGUGCGUUCUAAAAUCAACUCAAGACAAAACGCAGUGCUGGAAUAAAACAGACGUAACUCUCUCAUCCGGAGUCUGUUUUGGGUGAAUGACUACUUGUUGGAAAGAUAAUUUGAUGAACUUAGCAAUGGAGCAGAGUUUUGGUAAGUUCUGGACGCAGCGGAAAUCGAUGAAGAAGAGGCAACAACGAAGAACGAUGAAGAAGGAGAUGAUGAUGUGAGAGAAAUUAGCUUGGGCAAGUUUUCUAUUGAGCCUAAAUGAUCAUAUACAGUAUAGGAAGUGAAUAAAAGCUGCAUGGAUUCCUUUAACUCUUACAUAAAGGAUCAUGGCUUUGCGACAAAAAUAAGGUAUUUGAGAAAGUCGAGCUCUAUGACUAUAAAAGAAGCGCUUUUCGGGAGGCAUCCCAUUCAUUGAGUUUUUGUUUCUUUUAGAUAAUAAAAUGCAUGGCACCACCUUAUGAUGAUUAACUUGUGGCUAGUUAUUCUAGGUUUGUUUUGUCUUUAGACCACCAUCAUGUUCAUGUUCAUAUUUAUUUUUUUUGCGUGAAUUGCAUUUUGCCAUCAUCAUGAUGUGUGCAUUCUAAAGUUCUCUUGCAGCUUCUUUGCAUUCUAGUCAUGCGUUGCAUAUUGUUGGCUUGGUUGUUAUAUGUGUUUUAUGAUGAAUUCUUUCAUAUCCAUGUUAGUGCUUCAAUUGGGCAUGUAAACAUGGUGUUUAAAAUUGAUUGCAGGCCAUCAUCACUCAGUUCUAUAAACCUCGCUAGCUAUCCAUCUUGUUUACAUGUUGCUUUGGUUGGUUUAUAAGUUUUGCAAUGCGCUUUGUUUUUCUUGUGCUAUAAAGAAUUAUUGAUCUUGGGAUAGACAUGGUGUUUUGAUAUUGGUUAAUUAAUCUCUAUGGUUAUGGAGAAAUUCAACAACCUAGUUGUAAACAUGGUGUUUAGAACUAGACGUGAACAUGGUCUUUGCUUAUAUGCUUCCCUCUCAUAUGCAUAUGCACCUUGCACUCAUGUACACCCAUUAGGUUUUUAUCUUUCUUUUCACUAGACUAAUUAUGCCACAAGUUAAGAAUCUUAGGAUGUGUCAUUGGUUUGUUGCCAAUUGUUUCUACUCCCAAUUAUCACCCUGGGAGUAGUAUGUGCACUUAAAUUUUUUUGCAGGCAUGAUGAAGAUGAUCUCAUGAUAAAAAGAUGAUAAAUAAGAGGGAUAUGAUUCGAUGGUAAUCAGAUUUGGAGGCAACAAAAUUCGAAGCACCGUGGCACCACCAAUAUUCUCCUGCGAGAUGUUCAUGAGUGAGUGGUGCUCCCUAGGAAGAAGGCAAUCCAAAUCAUCAACACGAAGCACACAAGCCUACUAUGAUCCCAUCACCUCAGUAAAAUCAAGAAUUAUGGAGAAGAACUAUCAUUGCCACCAUGUUAGUUGUUUGUGCAGCAACGGUGAUGACCUUGAAGCCAAAGGAUGCACAACAUGGUGCCCUAAAGACCACAAGAUCAAGAUUAUCAACAUCCAGAGAGACAUACUCGUAGCUAUUGUUAUCAUCAAAAUUUUGCAUCACCUCAGAGGAAAACACAAAAUAUUUUUGGAUAUUUAGAAUCCAUAUGAAGUUUUCUUUCCAACGAAUCAAGUGGCAAGGCAUUGGGAUGUUAUUACAAGCGGUUAUGGCCAAAUCAUUGAACAACGCACGUCCUGAAAUCAGUUAUGGACAGCGCGCUGUGCUGAAGUUAAACGGGCAUAACUCUCUCAUAUGAACUCCAUUUUUUUAUGAAUGACCACUCAUUGGAAAGGUAAUUUCAUACACAUUUCAAUAGAUCUAUACUUUGGUAUAUGUUCUUCUCUGGACGUAGGGGAAAAUCCAUGAACAAAGGUGCUUGCAAGAUAAUGAUAGCUGAACAAAGGAGAUGAAGAUGACGACAAUGAGGAGAAGCUUGGGCGAUGCUUCCAUUGAGCUUACAUGAUGAAAUUUGGAUCUUAGGACGGAAUCACACCCUCGAGAGCAUUGUCACAUGGAAACACAGAGAUGUUAGAGGGGAACCACGAUGGAAUAUAAAAGACAGCAUCAAGCUGAUGAUCACAAGAUGCUCUAUCUUCUUCUCCAUGCUUAGCGCACUGCUAAGCAUGGGGGAGCGCUUGCUGGAUAAAGAUGAAAAUGACACGUGGAGUAUGAGGAUUAUUACUGCAAAAACAUGGUCAUUGUUCUUCUUCCAUGCUAAGCAUGACGCUUAAGCAUGGGGGAGGCUUCGCUACACUUCAUCAUCAACAGGAUGGUAAAUUUUUCUUGCACAUUCUCUUUUCCAUCUCUUUCUAAAUGCCUAUUUAUAAAAGCCUUCAACCUUCAACUCGGUGCAUCAUUUGUGUGAUAAUAACAUGACUACUAGGAGGACAACCUCAAUUUGUUUUUAUUUUCAAUAGAUAGGCAUGACCAUGUGCUCACCUCAAUGUUUUAUAUUGCCUUUGCUUAUGGAAAAAAGAUAAAAGUUGCCGCUUUGUUUUACCUACACUAUGUUGUAUAUGCCUUGACUGAUUGCUCUCUAUAAAAUGAUUUUAAAUUGAAUAAAUAACGAUGCUUUUAAUUGAUGUAGAUGAUGAAGAACCUCCAUCACAAGCUAUUGAGAAGCUGGCCACAGGAGAAAUAAAGCCUCAAGAGAAGAAAGAUGACUGUGACACAAGUAAUGGGCCACAAAUUGCAAGAUCCACUGCAAGCUCUGGAGAUUCCAAAGAAACUUGCAGAAAUUUUGCAAGUUCCAGAAAUUCUGAACAAAUCUCUGAAAAUUCUAGAGAUGAUGAUGAUGAUGAUGAUUCGAUCCAACAUCAAGCUCCAAACCCACAUCCAAGAGUUCAUCAGAUUGUUCAACGUGAUCAUCUCGUGGAUAACAUCCUAGGGAGCAUCCAAAUAGGGGUAACUACUGGUUCUAGAUUGGCAAAUAUUUGUGAACAUUACUUGUUUGUUUCCUCUUAAGGUAGAUGAAAUAUUGGAUGAUCUGGAUUGGGUGUUGGCCAUGCAAGAAGAGUUGAACAACUUCACUCAGAAUGAAGUUUGGUCCUUAGUGGAAUGCCCCAAGCAAAAUGUUAUUGGAAUAAAAUGUGUGUUUCGCAACAAGCAAGAUGAGCACAACGUGGUGACAAGAAAAGGGGCUAGGUUGGUCGCUCAAGGAUUUACUCAAAUUGAGGGAUUGGAUUUUGGUGAAACCUAUGCACCGGUGGUAAGACUUGAAGCUAUCCAUAUAUUGCUAGCAUUUGCCACUCAUCAUGAUUUCAAGCUUGUUGGAUUUAGUGACCGACAGUCCAUCACAGGGUCACCUAGGUGGUAGAUUUGUAGGCGAGAGAGAUCGCAAGACCAAGAACUCGAAUGGUAACACAGAGAUGCAAGGUUUAGAUAGGUUCGAGCCUCCAGAGAGUAAUACCCUACGUUGUGUGUUCUGGUGGAUUGUAUUGCUGGUAUGGGACAUGAAGAGUUGAUGUUCAGUUGGGUUGAUUUGCGUUCAGGGGGUAUCCCUAGCCACCUUAUAUAGGCUGACGACCUAGGGUUACAAUCGGAUAGGAUUUAAUCCUAGUCGGUUGUUAAAUGGAAAGCAAUCUUAGUCGGACUACAACAAGUAUCCUGUAAUAUCCAGGUAGAAUCCGUUCUCCCGGCCUCUAAGCUUGUGCUCUACGUAUCUUCAUGCCUUGGCCUGCAUGGCAUGGUCGGGUGGACCCACCUGUCAGUACCGACCAGUAUCCUAGUCGAUAGGGACUCGUGUGUACCCUUAUCCCUUAAGCCCCUGAGCAAUGUGGAGUUGAACAGGAGCCUGAUAGAUAUGCAACAAAGCUUUUAAUGCACUUAGAUGAAGUUUCGAUGUCGUCAUAGUGAUGGAGAGGCUGUGUAGUGCUCAAAAAAGGAAGAAAAAUUGAAACUUCCACAGGCAUAUGACCAAAUGUGCAUGUCUAUGCGACUGCCGAGCUCCAGGAUGUCUGGCAUCCUGUAGAUCAAAGGGAAGCACAUGGAAGGCGUUGUAAGACACACUCCAUAUGGAGUAGCCCCCAAGCAUUCAAGCGAUUAAAGUAAUUGGUCCAAUGGUCAAGAAUCUGAUGUAUUGCUUCUGUCGUAAAAGGGAUCCAAAUAUAGUGCCCAGCCCCCGAGUGCAAGGACUGGUGGAGCCGCAGAGGCAUGCUGACCUGAAAUAGGUGCCUAGCCCCCGAGCACAAGGAUUGACGGAGCUGCGGAGGCACACCAACCUAAAGUAGGCACCCAGCCCCCGAGCGCGAGGACUAGCAGAGCCAAAGAUGCACACCGACCUGAAAUAGGCGUCCAGCCCUAGAGCACGAGGAUUGGCAGAGCCAUGGAGGCACAUUGACCUGAAAUAUGCAUCCAGCCCCCGAGCAUGAGGACUGGCAGAGCCAAGGAGGCACGCCAACCUGAAACAGGCAUCUAGCCCCCUGAGCGCAAGGACUGGCAGAGCCACAGAGGCACGCCAACCAAAAACAGGUGUGCAGCCCUCGAGCGCGAGGACUGGCAGAGCCAUGGAGGCACAUCCACCAGAAAUAGGCAUCCAACCCUCGAGCGUGAGGACUAGCGAAGCCACGGAGGCACGCCGACAAAAGUAAGGCGCCUAGCCAUUGAGCUUGGGAGUCGGCUGAGUCACGGAAGUACACCGAGGCACCUCCUACCUCGAGCCAGAGAGCUCGGCUGAGCAACAAGAGGCACGUUGAGUCGUCUAUGGCACCCAGCCCCCAAGCUUGGGAGUCAGCUGAGCCACGAAAGCAUGCCGAGUCACCUACCACCCCGAGCCAAAGAGGUCGGCUGGGCAACGGGAAGCACACCGAGUCGUCUGUAGUGCCCAGCCCCUGAGCCUGGGAGCUGGCUGAGCCACAUAAGCACGCCAAGCCACCUCCCGCGCCGAGCCAGAGAGGUCGGCCGGGCAACAGGAGGCACACCAAGUUGUGUGUAGCACCCAGCCCCCAAGCCUAGGAGCCGGCUGAGCCAUGGAAGCACGUCAAGUUGCCUCCCACCCUGAGCCAGAGAGGUCGGCUGGGCAACGGGAGGCAUGCCAAGUAGUCUCGGAGUUGUAAGAGGACAAUACAAAGAUUAUGUAGCAUAAUAUAGAGUAUUUAAUAAUUGAAUAACUCGGAGUUUUAUUUGGUGUAGAAGUAAAUUCUUGCGCAUCCUGCUCUUGUAGGCCAUGUAAUUUCCCUGAGUAGUUAGCUCGUUAUGUUUAAGCACCUGAACCUUCCGGGGUGUUGCCGAGAGCAGGCUUGAGCGUGCUUAGCACGAAGUGAUACAUGAGGGCCAGGCUUCACGGAUUAAGGCGUGUGCUACCCAAGUACUUUAGCAACCGUUAAGAGAGACGGACAAGCUACAAAGUAGUCGAAACUGUGCGGAAAAGCGAAUAGGACUUAGCUUGAUUCAUGGCCGAGUUGGAGAAUCAGUGUUGUGCCGGAGAGGGCAGCCGUCGAUGAACAGUUGUUGAUGAAGCUAGUCUCGAGUCGAAGUGGUGAUCGGCGGUGUUGGCUACGAGGGCAGCGGUGCGUGGCGCUGUAGUUGCGGCUGUCUCAUUAACGUUGCUACCGAGCGCAACGGACAUGCGUGCACUCCGACCCACGCGAUCCGUCGUUGAUGCUCGGCAAGUUGGCCACAGGGAAGACCAAGCAUGCAUCACGUUAGAUAAAUAACAGAUUAGAAUAAAUCUUGCCGACCAAAUAAACAAAACAACACUUAAGAUCGGAUAUAAAAAAAAUAACAGAAGGGAUAUGCCCCUGUUCACGUAUAUCCUUGUAGAUGGAUUUUUCUUGGCCGCAUGCAGCCGAACGUAAUGGACGCUGGUGGAGCAGGGAUGCAGGGGUACUGCUGCGCCCUUCGUGGCUUCAUGCGAUCGUCAAGCCGUUGUAGAUGGAAUCCUGGGCGGCUGCUUCGGCGUAGAUGAGCACAGCAGCAUCGGUGUUGCGGACUGCACACGACAAAUGUGUUUGCGACAAUGGCGCACGGCAGCUGCCCCGUCUUCCGCACAUAGUGACCGUCAUCCAAUGACGCACGACGCCGGGCGGCGCUCAGUAGGAGGGGGAUAGGCGGCAUGUACAGAUCAGAAAAAGAUCAAAAUACAUGAUUAGCUUGAUCUCUCGUAGUCGGUGGCGUGCACCCUCAUCCGCCGUAGAAUGCAGAUGUUGAUCCCACGAUUAGAUUGGAGGGUGGGUGUUGGUGGGCUUCAUGUUGUUGGGGAAGAUGACGCUAGGGUGAGAUGCCAUUGAGCUCGUUGGGGAGGAUCUCAUGAUCACCCCUACCUAGCACGUCAAUUGUUGGAUUUAAUGAUUGGUAAUCCACCAGGGAGUUACCCAGGUGGUAGAUUUGUAGGCAGUGGAGAUUGCAAUACCAAGAACUUGAAUGGUAACACAAAGAUGCAAGGUUUAGACAGAUUCGAGCCUUCGAAAAUUAAUACCCUACAUCUUGUGUUCUGCAGGAUUGUAUUGCUGAUAUGGGAUGUGAAGAGUUGAUGUUCAAUUGGGUUGAGUUGCAUUCAGGAGGUGUCCUUGGCCGCCAUAUAUAGGCUGGGGACCUAAAGUUACAAUCAGAUAGGAUUUAAUCCUAAUCGGUUGUUACAUGGAAAGCAAUCUGAGUCAGACUACAACAUGUAUCCCGCAAUAUCCGGGCAGAAUCCGUUCACCCAACCUCCGAGCUUGUGCUCCACAUAUCUUCAUACCUUAGCCCGCACGGUGUGGUCGGGCGAGCCCACCUGUCAGGACCGACCAGUAUCCUGGUCAGUGGGGACCUGUUGGUACCCUUAUCCCUCAGAGCUAUAUCAAAUAGCUAUCAAGAGUGCCUUCUUAAAUGGACCAAUCUCUGUAGUGGUAUAUGGUGAGCAACCACCGGGCUUUGAAGAUCCAAAGUUGCCCAACCACGUCUACCAGCUCCGUAAGGUGCUCUAUGGGCUCAAGCAAGCUCCUAUAGCAUGGUAUGAAUACCUUAAGGAUUUUCUCCUAAGGAAAGGCUUUGACAUAGGCAAAGCCGAUCCUACACUCUUCACUCACAAAAAGGAUAAUGAUCUAUUUGUAUGCCAAAUAUAUGUUGAUGACAUAUUAUUUGGUUCCACUAAUAAAGUGUUGUGUGAUGAGUUUAGUAGGAUUAUGAUAAAGAGAUUUGAGAUGUCCAUGAUGGGAAAGUUCUUUCUAGGUUUUCAAAUUAAGCAACUCAAAGGUGGCACCUUAAUAAGUCAAACCAAGUACACUCAAAAUAUGCUCAAGAAGUUUGACAUGGAGAAUGUGAUGAGGACAUCACUCCUUUAGAUACACAUGAACUCCUCCCAUUGUUCUGCAAGAACCAAUCACUAGAGCACGAGCUAGACAAUUGAAUCAACAGAUGAGCUCGUUUUUAUGUACUUCUUUUAGUAAUUUUGAGAAUGGGUUGCUAACUAAUGAUGUUAUUGUGCUUAGAAACAAUGGAGAUGACCAGGGAGUACUUGAGGAGAAGCAUGAAGGUGGAGAGGUCCAUCAAGAGGCGUCCAUGUCACACGGAGGCCCAAUGCAAAUCAACUUUGAGUCCACCUCGAAGUCCAGGAGUAGUCUGCCUUAGAUUGGACACCUAGGUCGCCGCAUACGGAGUCGAAUUUUGACGUUCUAUAUAUGGAUGGAAAGAUAAUUUGAUAGAACUUCAAAUGGAGCCAGUUCCAUUUGAGUCAACGGGAAUCAUCAAAACAAGUGGACGUCCAGAAUCUAUCAGCGUGCAUCGCCACCAUCUUUCAAGCCGUUGGGCCGUGUAUCGUGUUGGAGCCCAUUAGGGGCGUGUCCAAGGUUAUUGCACGCCCCUAAACACUUUAUAUUCAGUAGAGUCAGACAAGUUAGGAUUUGGGUUUUGCUUAGAUUCAAUCUUUCAUUGGCAGUCGCCGUUCAUCGGUUUGUGAGACCCCAACUUUGUGUGCUUAAUCCAAGGUUUUCUAUAAUUGAGUUGUGUUCUUCCUGUUCUUGCUUGUAUUCUCAAUUUGCAUGCAAGGGAUAUCCUUCGUGGCGAGGUCAACCAGGUUAUGCACAGUUGGUAACCAGAGGAGAAGUGGUGCUUCGAUUGUGGGGUUCGAAUCUUGCUGAUCAGAAACCGGAUCGAGUGUGUUAUUUCUCCACCAUAUCGAGAGUUACCCUCACCUGACGGAAGAUCAGGCACCCUAGUUCCCAUCAAAAUGCCAAGCCCAUCAAGACCCCAAUGGUAUCAAAUGGGCAACAAUGACAUGAGGACAACUAAAGACAUCAUGAAACAUCUCGUUGAAACAAUGACAACAAUCCCAACUACAUAUUGGAACAUUUCGCGAAUAUUGUGGGAACAAUCCAAACUACACAACAGAACAUCUUAUUAAUCCUAUAGGGAACAAUCAAAAUACAACAUGAAAUAUUUGAUAAAUACUGUGAGAACAAUCCAAAUCACAUCAUGGAAAAUCUUGCAGAUAUUAUUAGGGAAACAAUAUAAAUACGCAUUGAAACGUCUCAUUGAUACUAUGUGUACAAUCAAAACUGCACCGUGGGUAAAAUAUAAAAACUGUACGCUCAUAGAAUAUGAAGAAAUAAAAUAACAACUGUAAGAAGAAAUAAAUAAAAACAUGUAAAUAAAGAAUGGUAAAAAGGAAUAAAAAGCUAACUGGGUAAAAUAUUCUAGGCCUAAUAAACUAUGGUAAACAUGAAAGAAACAACCUAUAUAUUAUAUACUGAAAAAAUGAGUAAACUACUGUACAUGAGCUGUUAAGUUAUUUUAUAACUCUCGAAACGCUGGCUGAGCAAAUCAAUCAUGUAGGUUCUGGCUAACGCGCAGCAAGCUACACCAGCUGGCCAGUAGGCCGCUUCACGCGGGGCGCUGCGCCUGGCGAGGGAGAGAGGCCGGGGGUGGUCGGCGGGGUGCCAUUUCUUGCGCUGCCGUCGCAUCGAGCAUGAGCUGCAGAGGGACGGCGGCAGCUUUGCUUUCCUCUGGAGAAGGUGGCGUGAUUGAGGAGGAUGAGGCAGCGGCGAUAGAUGGAGGCGCUGCAAUCUCCUUGACCCCAGAAGUUGGAGCAGGUGGAGGUGGAUGAGGCGAGGGCGUGAGGCGGCAGAGAGCCAGGGACCCACCGGUGUAAAAAGGAUCUUCCAUCUUCAACAAAAAUAUCAGUUGUGUUUUACUGGGGACUAAAGGUAGGUAACACACCAACCGGGACGAAAGAUUCCUCACGAGUUACUACAAAAUGAUUGCAUCCCUUAUUGAAUUAGAUGUGCUAUGUAGGUGAGAUGGUAAGGAAGCUACGCGCGAGGCUUGAGGUCGUGGGUUCGAAUCCCAUGCACCGCGCACGUGCAUAUUUCGCAUGAAAAAUCGCAUGACUUGAGAUGUGCGUGUGUGUAAGAGUCAUCCAGGAAUUUUUAAUUUUUUUUGGCGCAAAACCCUUUAGUCCCGGUUGGUAUUACUAACCGGGACUAAAGAUGUGCCUUUACGGGACUUUAGUCCCGAAUGAUUAGUCCCGGUCUGACUAGUGCUUGUUUCUCUACUAGUGACCAAGCUAAGAGUGCUUGGGAUUUUUACGGCCGACGAGAGGGAGAUUUUCGGCCUUAAGGUAAAACGAUAGAUUUUUACAGCGAAGGUGAGAAAGUCCUGUGGCUAGAACUCAAAGACAUAUAUGAAGUGUACCAUCUUGAUGCCCUUGAUGUCUCUCUGAUCAGCGCCUGGGCUAUGUAGGUGUCCAUUAAUCUAUAUGUAAAUUUUGGCUUAUAUCAUUAUUUUUUAUGCGUGCGUCGUCGUACUAACUUCGUCUUCCAUUUUAUUUAGGAUGCUAAUUCAGACGUGCCGACGAGAAGAUUACCUCCAUGUUGGCUUCAUGGAUCCAUCCCUAGUUAACUAAAAACAAAUACAGGAGCAACUAGUGAAAACGUUGGUGGAAGUAUACAAUUUCCUAGACAAACAAAAUUUCAAGGAUUUCAUACUACCAUACAACUUCAAGUAAGUGUGCGUAUACCGUUUAAUUUCAUUUUCUUUUUCCUUGAUUAAUGUUAGUUAGCUCUAAUAUAUAUGAACAUUUACGUAUGCAGUUACCACUGGAUCCUUAUAAUAAUUGAGACUGAAAGAAGCCACGUCACUUUCUUCAAUUCGUUGAGGAAAGCUCCGACGGAGUACCAAGACAUGCUAGGCUUGUAAUAAUUUUGGACCUUUAUCUCUAUGCAAAAGUUUGUUUCCUAAAUUUUCACCUAACAUUAUAUCAUUCAUUAUUUUAAUCUGUAGCGCAUGGAGAGAAUUCAUCAGGAAACACAAAGGUCCAUUCAAAAAAAAGUCUUACAUGGAACACAGACUUCCCGGUACGUAUGAAGUUUGCACAUUUCGUACAUUCUAUAGCACGAAUAUUUCAUAACUUGUUUUUCCCCCAUUGAAGUGCUUAAGAUAGGACUUGUGGGACCCAAGGGAAAGAUGACGCCGCACAACUUUAAAGUACAUAAAAUAAAACUAUUAAUAGUUAAUUAUUUUCUACCUCCUUAUAUUUAAUUGUUCGUGUAAAAUUCACAUUUUUCCAAAUUAUAGAUGUAUAAUAUUCAUUGCAUUCUUGGUGGACGAGGAAGGAAAGAGUAGCGGCAAUAUGUGAAGGUCUUAUUGCAUUCGCGAUGGACGAGGUGGUAAAUCUAUAAGGAGAAUUUUAUUAUGAUGGACAAAAAUUAGACGCACCGAGCAACACCUCAACGGGAGGAUCCUAGAUAGUUUAAUUUGAUUUGUAUAACAAGCUAAGAUUUGUAUAGUACGCUAAUAAUUGUAUAUAUACUAAGAAAUGUAUAUAUAGUAAUUAUAUAAAUACUAGUUUGAUUAGUCUAGAUACUAGUUUGAUUUCAUUAUAAAAGAAAGUCUUAACUACUAAAGAUAACUGAAGAGUAUGUACGUGAUGCAUGAAAUUACAGGUGCCAUGUACGCUAACUAAAGGGGUACGUGAUGCAUGAAAUUACAGGCGCCAUGCAGGCGCCUACGUCGUGCACGCCUGAAAUUUCAAGUAUGACUUUAGUCCGGGUUGCCAACCAGGACUAAAGGGUAGUACCGGUUGAGUGACCCGGGACUAAAGACCUCACUUUCAACUCGAUUGUUUUAUUCCAGAUAGAUUUUUGAGAGAUUUUCUCCCUACCAAUCAGAACUAAUGGCGAGUUUUGCACCAAUGAAGUGUGCUCCGGAUGUUGAAGCUCCUGCGGACGGGCAGGCCGUGUUGCGAAUGGACGUGUCUGAGACAGAAGUCUCGAUCAACCUUUGCAGAGGAUCCAGCGGCGAGCAAAAACGGGCGACAGCCAAGUCAGGCGCACGCGGACGUCACCCGCACAACGGCAGGCGCGGCGUCCAAACAAAAGUAGCGGCCGCCCGGCCGUAUUUCUGUUGUGCCGCGUUCCCCACGCCUGCGUCUCAGCGUGGCUGGCGUGCAAGGCUAGCUGUAUCCCUUUCGGCCCAGCUAACAAGUAACGCCAGCUUUAUUCACUCUCACCACACCUCCCUCCCUCUUUAUCCUCCUCCUCACCCCAUUCUUCAUCCUCCCUCUCUCCAUCAAGGGUACAUCGGAAGAGGUGCUGCUGGUACAUCGAUCUGGUGGGAGAUAUCAGUAUAUUGAGGUAACUUGAUUCAUUCAUCUUACCUAUUAUUAAAAAAGUAAGCACCUUAAUUUUUUUUAGUUUGAUCCAACUUCUAUUAUUGACGGGUGGGUUCAAACACGUAUUCUUGGUUUGAAUCCGACUCAGCUCGGUUCACCGCACGAAUACGACUCAGCUCAGUUCGCCGCAUGCCCGCACCUAAACGGCCAGGCAGUUGUGGGGAUCAGCGAAGCCAACCCUCCUUUUUCCAUCACGAAUCACACUGACCCAGGCUUUUGCGUCCCCUAAGGCUGGUGCUGGUGGCCGUUAACGUUGAUCUCGCCGGUAGCAGCCUUUAGCACUGGCGCCAGCACCUUGCUCCGCCCGCUCGGGCGCCCACCUACGCGCCUCCUCGGUCGGCUCCUCCACAGCCUGCAACUUGAACGGCCACCCGAGUGUGAAGUUGCGCGGCACCGUCCGCGAACGUCGCUGAGUGUCUCUAAGGCCUGCUGCGGUGGAUCUAGGGUGUAUUUCACGAAGGAGAAAUGAGGAGAGAGAAAGUUGAGUGCUCCGGGGGGGGGGGGGGGGGGGGGGGGGGGGGAGCAUAGGAGCGCAGGGAGGCGCAGCUUUUCAAUUUUUUAUUUUAUCACCUGGCGUCUGUAUCUGUGCUUCAGUGGCCCUUGACCUUGAUGCAUUGGCCCAUUAGGACAUCUUGUUCCUUUACUUAGGAAACGCGACAGAACACCAUGAACACAUAUAUUUUUUAUAACUACAAAUACUAUACAAACUGUAUUAGGUACCACAGAUGCUUAGAUGACAAAAUCUACAGCAGCUAGAGAUACGGGGAAACCUAAUAAAGAAGAAAACAUCUGAUUCGAGAAAUAGGAAAUUGGCAUGUAUGUUUUGUUAUAUAUCGAUAGUUGAAUAUGUUUUUGAUUUUAUUUAUGGUCUCUGAUCAUUAGCCACGUAUUCCCGAUCGAAUUUUUUGGUUUCUGAUUUGGAAACAUGAGCUAAAUUAUAUGGAUGGUGGAUGCCAAGAGUUUGAUGCUUCCAGAGGAAUGAAUAUAGAUUUCUUCAGUGGCCACCUUUGAGCUAGAUAAAUAAGCUAGCUCAUUGGGUUUAACAUUUGAUGUUUCAUUCCAACAUGGGCUAUGCCUGAAAUUCCUUACUUUAGCAAGCAACGAAAUCACAAGGCCUGCGAACUAGUUCCCAACAUACUUUCAUAGUUUUAAACUAAAACUUCAAACAUGAAAUAAACAGACUGCAACACAGAGCUUCAGGCAACAAAAUGCAACCAACUACUGUCACAGACUACAUCUAGCAACCAUCUUGUGUGUUUGAGAUCUUGCAUUCUCCACCGCAAAAGCAAACCUUCAGCCCCCAUUCUUGCCAGAUUCAUUUCACUGAAGUAGCACCAUCCUGUGUCAUCCGCUGGGGCCUCCUGAGGAUGAAAAUGUAGAGCCGUCACCUUGAGCGCUUCUGCCCCUUCUUCCAGCUUUUCCCUGUCUUCUUCUUCUUUUUUUUUAACUCUGCCCAGAACAUAAGAAACGAUGAGGCAGAGCAAAUGAUCUCAGUAGGAGAUCGAAUAAUUUUCUUAUCAAAGCAAACACUAUCUCUUGCUCUCCAAAUAGCCCAGCAAAUAGCUGAAAGAGCAACCAUGUGAAACUUCCUGCCAGAUUUUAGAAAGGAAAUAGCCAACAACAAAAACUAUUCCAGACUACAAGGUCUACAGUUUGCUCCUACCACCAAGGCAAUCAAACUCCAAAAAUAUCUAGCCAUAGCACACCCAAAAAACAUAUGUUCCACUCUAUCUCUCUUUCUGAGCAAAAAGCACAAGAUUCAUCUCCUUGCCAUUUCCUUCUCACCAAAUUAUCUUUUGAUAGAAUUGCAUUCUGUUGCAUCAACCACAUGAAAAUUUUAAUUUUCAGUAACAUCUUAGCUCCCCAUAUGUUGCUGUGUGUAACAGUGGGUUCAUUGUUAAACAUAUGAGAAUGCAUGGAUUUGACUGAAAAGACUCCUUUCUCUCCCCAAAUCCAAGCAUCUCCUAAAUGUGAGCCUCCAGUUUCAUGCGUCAUAUAAGCAACAGUACAAGAUUGUGCAUUACAUAUCUCAUACAACUCCGGGAACUUAUCUUUUAAAGAUACAUUCCCACACCAUGGAUCACUCCAAAAGUCAAUAUUUUUACCAUUCCCAACUACCAUUACUCUUCCCUUUAAACAUAAUUCUUUAACUUUGAUCAGAUUAUUCCACACCGGCGAAUUCGUUGGUUUGAUCUUUAACUGAGACAAACAUGCUUCUUUAUUAACAUACUUUUUCUUUACAAUUUCUUGCCAUAAUCCAUCUCCUUUUUCAAAUUUCCUCCACCAUUUGCAAAGAAGACUGAGAUUCAUUUCCUUAAGUCAUGUAGUCCCUCCCCCCCCUGAUUUUACUCCACUUUCCUUAGUGCCACCACGGCUUGCCAAAAAAAGACUUUUUCCUAGUUCUGUCCAUUCUUUUGUUUAUAGUUAUUUGGAAGCAAGUACAUAGACAUGCAGUAUAUAGGUAUGCUACUAAGACAUGAUUUUAUCAAGACUGUUCUCCCUCCGAUAGAUAGCACUUCCCCUUUCCAUCCAUCUAAUCUUUCGAGUUUUUCAUCUAGUUGCAGCCAAUCAAUGAUGUGCAGUCUUCCACCCGAAACUGGAACACCUAGCUACUUUAUGAGCCAUGAUCCUAUUGCACAAUUAAACAACUCUGAAUAGGUGUUGGAUUUCUGUUCAUCCUCACUAAUCAUUAUCACCUCACUCUUCUCGAAGUUUAUCUUAAGUGCAGACAUUUCCUCAAAUAGAUAUAACAGAAUUUUAGUGUUUUCUAGCAACUUCCUCGUCAUCCUUAAGACACAAGAUGGUGUCAUCUAUAUAUUGUAAAAUCUCCACUCCUUUCUCUAUAUAUUCUGGCACCAGUCCUUCAAUUAUUUUGAGCUUGGUUGAACAUUUUGGAUAAUGUGUCCUCCGCUAUAUUGAACAACAGGGGCAACAGAGGAUCCCCUUGUCUCACCCCUUUACCACACAUGAAGUAAUCCCAUCCCAUCAUUUACCUUUACACUCAAAGUACCACUGGUCAUCACUUCCCAAAUCCAUUUACACCACUUUUCAUUAAAACCUCUUUGCUUUAAACACUCCAGCAAGAUUUCCAGUUUAUUUUAUCAUACGCUUUUUCAAAGCCUAGUUUUAGUAUUAGACCAUCUUUCCCCUUUUGUUUUGUGUCAUGUAAAAUCUCAUGAAGACUCAUUACCCCCUCCAUAAUAUUUCUCCCCUUGCUGAAUGCAUUCUGUGACUGAUUAAUAAUUUUAUCCAUACAUUUUGCCAACCUGAGCAUCAAACAUUUUGUGAAAAUUUUAUAAAGCACAUUAAGGAGACAUAUCGGGCGAUAUUGCUGAAUUUUAUUCGCCUCCUUGCUUUUCAGAAUCAAAGCUUUAGUUCCAUAGUUGAGUCUACCUAUAUCCAGAUUAUGUUUAUGGAAAUCUUCAAACAUCAAAACAAUUUCGUUUUUAAUGAUGUCCAAGCAAGCCUGAUAGAAUUCUGUCAGCAUAUGGGCUGUAUUUGUUUUUGUGGAAUCGAUCAUUUUUUAUUUCUUCCUCGGAAAAGUUUCUGGUCAAGAUUUUGUUUUCUUCUGUUGAGAUUUGUCAUUUUCAUUCUAGCACUCAGGAUCCAUUGUGACUAGUCUUUUUCCCCUCUUACCAUUCAGGUAGCGUUUAGACAUAACGCCACACUGAUCUUGCAGCGCUGCAGUAUGAGUUUGUUUUUGCACAAUUAUUCUUCAUUUAAUUACUUGUUUGCUUGCGAAGAAAUUCAGGUAGCAUUAAGAUGUAUUUAGACCAUCCAUAUACAUUUAUCCUAAUUAUCUCUUCAAUCAUCCUUCACAUCCUCAUUGUUUUUACUUGUAACAGGAAGGACCUGCACAAAGUUUUUGCCGUUAUCAAGAACCAAUAGUGAAACGAACAAGUAGUAGACACGGCAAAUUAAGGAGUUCAGGUAAUAUAAUUCGAUCACACUUGCUUCCUAGUUAAAAAGUAUUGUUUUAGUUCUAUACCAUAUAAUGGGUACGCUUCAGCUCAUCCCUUCUUUUGCAAAUUGCUCUACUUGAUAUGAUGUUUCAAACUUGAAGAAAAUUCUCCAAAUGCCCAGUUUCUUUUGCCCAGAUUUAGUCACUAACAUAAAAUGCGUAAUUUGUUCUCUUCUGCAUGAUAAAAUUUAUCCCAGCUUGUUUUCUCCUCCUAAAAAUAUUAUGUAAAUAAAUGCACAUAACAGUAGUAUUUGCACAGGCUUUACAACGGUGAGCUGGGAGUGCCACAAUUAUCAUUUAGUAUGCCAGCCAUCUUGAACUUUAUUUGAAUUAUUAAAUCUAGCAUGCUUCCUUGCUUAUAUAGAUCAUGGAGAAGACAACUUUAAUUUAUUGAAUUUCUACUACUUAAAUAAUCGUGUAUAUCAUGCAGUACAUAUAUCUCAUUUGAUGCCUUGGCAUUUGCCUCAAACCAACUAACCCUAACUACACACGUCUGCUGUCUCAGUCCCGAAGUGCGAGGUACUGCCAUGGACGGCAACUCCCAGCCACCUGCACCACCGGCUGCCACAAUGAUCACGCUGGCCAACCCGUUCAUGAGGCCGGCCGCGGCUGUGACCACCGUGCCAUGGUUGCCCACUGCUGUGCACCAGCAGCGCCAGCCGAAGCUUCCGGUUUUCAGGCCGCCGGCUGCCGCAACGGUCACGCCUGAACGGCAGCUCCUGCAGGGCUCCUCCAGCCAACAGGUACCCGCUGCGGCUCCUCCGGUUGCUGCCACUGCUCCUCGUGGCCCCACUGUGCUUGGCGUUAGCAGGCCGCCGGCUCCACCAACGGCUAUGAUGGCGAACCCAUCGCCAAGGUUCAUGCAGGUCAACAACAGAUUGACGCUCAGGGAUCUUCAACUCCUGCCAAAACUGCCUGUCUACAGGGGGCCAACGCCUAGGCCUGAACUUGCAAGGUCCGUUUCAUCGGGCAAUCCGCUGCUGCAGUCGUCAGUGGAUACAGGCCCGUGCGCCUUAAACAUGCAGGCAGACCUACCAUCUCCAGACGAAUUGUCAGAGAGGGACAGUGGCAGCGAGGACGAGCUGGAGAUGCUGGACUAGUUCCUGCUCGAUCACCCUUGGAAGUUUGUUCAGACAAUGAGAAGUUGUGAGAUGUGAAGCGUGUAUGCUCGUACCAGUUAUCCUAUCAAUGUUUGUGUUCACUGCAGAACUGGGUUGGUUGACCUAUAUGGUUAUCUAUCCAUUGUCGUAGAAGAUUUGGGAUUAUGAGGUUCAUGUGGAGAUUAACUAAAUGUUUGUUUGUCUUCCUUAUCUUUCGGUUCAAAAUUUUUUUCCUGAGAUGCGAAGGUUUGCAUGGGGUAGUGCGCUGGAAGGUACGCAGGUUUAGAACGUCACCUGACAAAAAGAUUAUUGAUUAUGAUCGCUAGAACGAAUCUGCAACGUCAGACACUUCUUCUAAUGCUAGAUGUUUUUUUUUAACGUUUGUCUUAAAAUUAUCUUCCAAAAGAAAAGGCAUCAAAAUUUGGUUCCGUAUGCAGUAGUUAUACCUUACUAGCUAGACACCUUGUAGACUACCGUUUGCCAAUACAAACUAGGGUGUCAAAGUUUUUCAUCCUUUUCUUGCAAUUAUCGGGAGCGAGGGGCAACACGCCAUUUCACAGCAACUAGGAUUGAAGAACAACGCUGCAGGUAAUCAGCGAAAACCAUAUCACCAUAGGGAAUCUUCUUCACAUUGUUAGAAUUAAAGCAUCUUCAUCAUCGCAAUCGAUCAUCGUUCUACUUGUACGGUCUCCCUUUCCACGAUGGGGAAUUGUACUGGAAUGGUGGACUCACGUAACCACAACAUCAUAUUCACCGCGUCAGGCUCUGAGAAGUCUAACUCUACUCAUCAUGUGGGAGGUUUGGAAACAACGGAAUGAGCGCAUCUUCAAUGCAUAUGAGAGCUCUACAACGAUGUUGUUGGCGAAAAUCAAGGAGGAGUCGUCAGCUUGGAUGCUGGCAGGGGCAAAAGACCUAGCGUUACUCCUAACGCGAGAGUAGUCCUUUUCUUUUUGCACGGCUAGCCGCUCAGCUGGCUGUUUGUUUUUCCUUUUGAAUUUGUUUCCUUCCUGUAAACUCCUGCUUUAUCAAUAAAAUAGGCACAAUCUCGUGCCUGUUCAUUCAAAAAAAAAAGAGAAUGGAGCAGUCCAAACUUUCAGAUAUGCAUGUAUCUUCUGCUCAUCCAAUAAAAAUGGAUAGAUAAGAAGAUGCACUUUACAUUGUGCAUAAGGACCUUCCGACAUGCAUGUAUCUUUUGCUCAUCCGAUGAUAGUGGAUAGAUAAGAAGAUGCUAAGGACAUUUAUAUACUAAUAAUUGGCAUUAGACAAUAGCGAAAAAAGUUUAGGAGACAAAAAGGAGCACAAAUUCACACCUUGUUAAUGCCUGAAUUCACAAAGGUGAUACUCGAUCGCAUCUCACAUAAGUAUGUUGUGGUCAAAGCUAUCCUUCUAGACAUGACCAUAACCAAGGUCUAGAUGGAUAGCUCAGGAACCCUCAUCAUUGGCAAAUAUAACUUCAAGAGCCAAAAAAAAAAGAAUCAAAUUCAUCAAACCACAACGGAAGAAUCUUAAUGGAAGAACAGAGGUUUCAUCCAGGUAUAAAAAUAUAUGUUCUAUAGUGGUGCAGGAUGCAAUCAAAAUUGGAUACAGUGUGGCACUUUUCAUCUGGACCUUCAAUCCCAUAUCAUUUUGAAAUCACAUCCUUGUAUUAUUGCCUCUCUAUUGUUAUCUUCAUUGUAGUAACCAUCUUGUAAGAUCCCAGGCAUGUGCAAUGGAUAACCAUGGCCCGCUUUGAAAUGUGCAUCCACAGCUAGCUUGCUGGUUGAUGCCAUACUAUUUUUAAUAUCCACUUGUAUCUUACCAUUAAGUUCAGUCAGAAAUCAAACAUGUUGUUGGAAAUUCUCUCUCUCUUGGACUUUGCAAGCUGAUGAUGGAAAUGUACACUAGAAAUGGGCUUCACAACCAGCACAUUGUAGCUGGUUCAGCACGAUCCAUUUGUGAUGGAUGCAUACUCCUGGUCCAGCACAUGGUGUCACAACCCUGCAUUGGUAAGAAAAAAGGGGAGUGAGGGUCUAGAAGAGUAAAUCUAGAAUGGGAUCUCCCAGAGAACCGUAUUAUUGUGUAUCUAUAACAUAUUUUGUGGUUCGCAUCGGAGCUCUCAUAAGUAUUAUAAUAAUGUGUGAUUAUCCCUUCAAGAAGAAGAAGAUGCAGACUGCUUAGGAAGGUACCCAGAGCUUUGUCUGACGAAGAGGAAAACAAUAAAAUGCAAACACUACCAACAAUGAGAAAGAGACUGCAUCAAUCAGACCUAUUGUUAGGAGAAGUGAAGGGGGAAAAAGGCAAACAGUACCAAACAGAAUUGGGCUUCACAAGCGGUACAUCUCGGUGCAUUGCCCAUUCUACAUUUCAUGUACGGAUUUUUAGUAUAGAUUCUCAUGAAAGACUAAAUUUUAAUAUAGAUUCUAGUGCUACUAUAUAUUUCCUCACCACCAGAGUAGACAGCGGCUGUGCUUCUGGAGUACACAGAUGAUGAUAACAUUAAUUCUAGAGUUUUUGCAGUCUGGACUCAUGGCUAAGUUUACUAGGAAAGAUACCAAGUGCAAGCUAUUGCAAACAUAGGAUUUAUCAUUUGGUGGGAAACCAAUGAAGGAGGAACUCUCUGCUAGCACUAAAAAUUCAUAUUGUAUUUAUCACAUAGCAUUUUUAAUUGGUUAUAGUAAGUUCAAAAUUGAUUUGGAGAAGCUUAAUCUAUUCAAAAAUUGAUUUUUAUUUAUUAUCCCGUGUGAAAGUGUAUUAGGAAAAUACAAGACCCUCGUCACUCCCAGUUUAUUGGACGAAUAAAGGGUGAUGAUUAAGCUCCUCUUUGGCACGGCUUAUGAAGCGGCUUCUCAAGCGGCUUUUAUGAAGCCGUGCCAAAUGGAAACUUGAAAACGGUUCACGAUAAGAAGCCAGACGGAAGCCCCGCAAAAUGCAGUGUCUGCUUCCUCCGCGGGCGAGAACCCAGAAAUUAUAGCUUAUACCGACUCAUCCCCAACCUAAAACGCUAAAAGAUGCAUGCGCCACUGCUAUUUCAUGGAAACUACUAGAUUUGCCAUUGGGCCAAGCUGCAGUCAGGGCGGAGGCUAGUGGCCGGGGUGGAGCUGGGUGAGCGUGCACAGGUAGCGGCUGGGGCAGAGAUCAGUGGGGGGAGUGGAUGAAGCGCUGUGUCGGAAGGAAAAUGGGAAGAAGGGGCGGCACUUACCCACAACGAAUGGCGCGGCCGCUCAGAGAACAUCGUCGGCGCGGUGAUGGGGGUGCAUCUGCGAAGCACAGGGGGAGCAGCACCGGAGGAGAUGCGGCGUAGCAGGACCAGAGAGAGGUGGAGGGAGAAGCGCGGGGUGAUGCGGCUAGAGGGAGCAGCAGUGCAGCACCGGGAGAUGAGGCCAGAGCAAGCGCCGCUCGUGGCUUGACAACGAAACAAGAAAGAAUGGGAUCGGGGAGCAAAUUGAAUGGUUAAGGGAGAAAUAGUGGCUGAGAGAAAAAGAGUGAAAAGGGAAAUAGGAAGAAAAAGGAAAAAUAAAAAUGAAAGGAUAAAAAGAAGGAAGAAAAUAGAAUUAGAAAAUAAGAAAGAAAAAUUGAUAAGGGUAUUUUGGACAUUUGACAUCUUACAUCGAUCUUCAAAAGCCAGGAGAAGCCGUUCUGCCAAACAUUUUCCCAACCAAAUAAGUUAGAACAAAAAAUUUGCUUUACUAGAGAAGCCAGAGCUGAAGUUAUUUUCUUGCGAUCCGGAGACGAACAAAAAAGAUGCUUUACUAGAGAAGCUAGAGCCAAAAUCAUUUUCUUACAAGCCAGAGUCACGCCAAACGGGACCUAACUAUCACUCCCGGUUGUUAUUAAGAACCAGGAGUGAUGGUUAACCGUCCCACCCAGUUUGUUUCAUUAUUCUGGGUCACUAGUAUGAGCUAGGAGUAAAGUUCCUUUUCUAUAUAAACACUUACCCCCCAUCCCCUCCAGAAGCAAUGGCCUUUCUCUCACCACAGGCGUCUCCACCACAGAUGACCCCUCUUCUGGAGGCUUCACCACCACAGGCAUCUCCUCCUUGAGUAACAUUCUGGAGGUAGCCCGUAACCCUUAUGUAGCUUAGUUGAAUGCCAUAUUGACAAAAUAGGCUCAGAUGAACAAUUUAAUCCAUCAUCAGUUAGAAUAGAAUUCCAUGUGUGCUAUAGAGAAUUGAGAAUUUUCAUGUCUUUCAAUUCGGGAGGUUUCGCGAGACUCUACUUGGGUGUUCUAUCAUUGCUGUAGGUCCUAAGCUUUCAUUACAUCAAUGUGGCUUACCUCUAUAGAUAGCAAUAAAGCUAGAGUGAAAUAAGUUUCUUCAUGCGCUUAUGAAUAAGCUGCAAUGGGUGGCUCCACCACCAGCAACCUCAGCUCAAUCAUGAGUUGAAAAAUAGUUAGAAAUUUUAGGUUGAAAAAUGGUUAGCAAAAUUUAGCCAAAAAAUAGUUAGAAAUAUUUAGCUAGAAAAAGUAGUUUGGAAAUAUUUCCUAGGAAUUUAGCUAAAAAAUUAGGAAAAAUUAUCUAGAAAAAAUUUAAUUUUCUAACUGUUGAUUUAAGUGGCUGUACAUUGAAGCAAAUGAUGAAACGGGAGGAAAAUUUUAGCUUGUCUUUGACAUGUUCUGUUUUUUUUUAUUGAAACGUAUAUUAAUUACAAGCUAUGCAGGUGCAAAAUCACUUAUGAGUGGCUCAUAGGCUGAUUAGGGUUAUCAAGAAUGUCCUAGAUAUGCUUGUACUUGAGAACUGCAAUCCAGCAUGCGCACCUUUUCAAUGUGAUACUUCCUAAUGAUUUUGCAACGGCCUACCUUUUCUUUCGAGUCAACAUACUGUUUAACCAAAGAGAAAAUUCUCUAUUUGACACCAUUAAAAUGAAUGCUUCCUUUCUUGGCCCUGCAAAUUUUGAACUUCCCUAUUUAACACUAAAUUUAAUUUGCAUUCCUUAUAUGAUACUACCAUCUCUUUUCUGCAUUAACGGUGUUAAGUGGAGAGUGAGAAGACCAUUUUGCUCCUUAGCAUGACCAAGCUGAAUGCACAAGACAAGAUAUGUUUGCCACCCAUAUUUUAGAAAGUCAAAAUGGCCGAUUUGGUCAUUUCAACUUUGUUCCGAGGGUCAAAUUCAUCCCUCAAUUUUUACAUAAACUAAUUUAAUCCCUCAGCUUUCAUUUUUGAAUCAAAUUUGUCCUUGUGCUGAUGUUACACUUGUUAUUGACAUGAAACUGAUGUGAAAAGUCUUUUUUACCCUCGACUCUUUUCCCCACCACCUCAAUAUUCGCCAGCAGUGCAAAAGGGCAAAAUCUUUUGAUCAACUAACCACAGGGACAAUGCUAAUGAGACGACGCUUACUCAUUUGAACCAAUCAUUUUUCAAUUGCCUCAUCAAUCACAAUUAUUGCUGCUCACUGACAUUGAGCCAUGAUUAAAGAACUCACCAAUCGAGACAACACACUAUUCUCAUCGUACCAGCAUAGUAUCAAAUUAAUUUGGAAAAUAUGAGAUAGCAACAAACGUUAACAUGAGUGCGAGGGCGGAGGGCCGGCGGCAUGCGGCGGUGCGGGGCAGAGCGCGUGCUGUGUCCGCGCGACACGAACGCGAGGCCGAGGCAUGCAAGGCGAACGCUGUGUCGCGGCUGCACGACGUGAGCGGCGGGCGGCAUGCUGUUGCCAUCUAGAAUUUGCCGUGCCUGCGCUCCCGUGUCGUGAGGCCGGCGUGUCCGUGUCUGGUGUGGCGGUGUCCCUAGCUGCCUGUCCCAUACUCCCACGGUGGUCUGUGGGUGUGGCUGUGGGCAUCCGGCGGUUCGGCCAUAUGGGCGAAGCCAGCACGUAGGUGAAUGGCGGCAACAAGCAAGUGAAGCCCCCGCCAGGGGUCGGGUAAAAGCUCCGUCUGCAUGAUGCGGCGACGAGCGGCGGUCCUCUAGCCCGUCGGACUUCCGGUUCGUCGACCUGGCUUUCUUUGAGCGGCCGGCGUUGCCGCUCUUCCUGCAGCACAGGCGGUCCGGGUGUUUCCAGAGCCCACGGCCGGAGCGCGUCGACACGGCGGCCGCCGGCACCGGCUACGAGAUCUUCUUUGACGUCGACUACGCCAACCGCCCAUGGUCUUCUUUGACUCAACUUACUGUUUAACCAAAAAGGUGCAUGUCUAGUCAAGCUAAAUUUAUGUUUAGGCCCAUAUAUAUCUCCUAAGUCUGAUGCAAAUUUUCAUUUAAAUCUAUUAGGUUGAUUUUCCUUAUAGUUUUCUUAACCUAUGAUUUCCAUUCAAAUACUUUCGGGAAUUCCCUUUAAAUAAAUACACAACGAAUUUUCCUUCUGAUCCGCAGUAGCUAGGGUGGCACAAUGCUGAGACCUCAUGGAGGAAGCCGACCCUACAUCGGCAGUCACCAGUAGAGAAUUGACCUUCCAUCCAACCCUUUUUGUCUCGGUUAACAUUGGACCCGUGACUAAAGUGGCUUUAGUCCCGGAUAAAAAAUGUGUCACCGAAGGUCAACCGUUGGGGGGGUGAGCUUUAGUCCCGGUUGUAAAUACCAACCCUUUAAUCCCAGUUGUAACAGCUAAAAAAAUUGGACCCCCUUAGUACCAGUUGGAGCCACCAACCGGGACUAAAGACCCCCUUUUGUCCCGGUUGGUAAUUCCAACCGGGACAAAAGAUUUAGUCUCGGUUGGAAUUACCAACCAGGACAAAAUGAGGGCGUUUAGUCCCGGUUGCUGGCUCCAACCGCGACAAAACGCCCUCCCCACGCGCGCGCCCCUCUCCCCAAAUUAAUAUCUUCUCCUCUCUCUCUCUCUCCUUUUCCUUAUCUCUCUCCUUUUCCUUCUCCACCAACGCCUAUCUUCUUUUCCUUCUCCACCGGAUCCCUCCUAUCUCCUCCCUCUCCUUCUCUCUCACGCAGGCGCCCCCUCCCUCCUUCUCUUCCUCUCUCCUGCCCUUCCGCCUCUGCUACCCCUCCCCUUCCCCCUCUGCUCGCCCCUCAUUGGUAGUGAGGAGCGGAAACAGGGCGAGGGUGGGCUACCAACGGGCGAGCAGGUGCGGGUGGAGCGGAGCGGAGCCGAGGCGGAGGCCGGUGGUGGCGGAGUCAAGGUGGAGCAGGUGGCGGCGGGAGGGCGGGAGAGCGGCGCGGGCGCACGCAACCGGGCGGGUGCGAGCGCGGGCACGGGCGGAGGUGGAGGCGGAGGCGAGCGGCAUGUGCGGCGCGGGCAAGCGGCCGGCGGGCGGAGCGGAGGCCGGGUGGCGCGAGCGACCGGCCGGCAGGCGGGCGUGGUGGCUUUUUUUUAUUUUUUUUCAAACUUUUUGUGCUAGAAGCACCCAAAUUAACCCGGCUAAAGUGUUCCCAACAUCGCCUCAAAUACGAAUAAAUACUUUAAUCGAAUUAAAAUGGUAGUCUGUCGGGUUUCACCCUAUACAACCACAUGUUUCUAAUCCAAACAAGCAUACAAAGCUUGCACGAAGACGAGUCCAGAGAUUACAACAAUCUAGAUAACAUAUUACAGGUCCCACAUUAAGUUAUUACGACCGAGUACUCGAAAGCAUAAAAGAGUAGUUCAGAGUUCAUAGUAGCGGAAAAAGAAAACAAUGGUUCUAACGACGAUACAUAAUACCAUGGUGAAGCCUGUCAUGAUAUCACUCACUACAAUCCUCGCCAACUAAGGACGGGUCCCACCCAACCGUCCAUCCCAGAGGGAACUGAGACAGCAAGUCACACUAGCAAUCAUAUCUUCAAAAUCAACAUUACCUGAAAACAUAGCCACAAGCAAGGCUGAGUAUACUAAUGUUGGGGGGAGAUAUUAACGACCUCCUAAUGACCCUCAAAACAAUAAUCAUGAAGGCCCAGGCCCACCUGUGGUGAAGACGUUUGCCGCCGGCCCAGCAUGAGCAGAGAGCGUCACACUCCGUCUCGCCCGACCCAGGGCCCAGGGGUCGGGCACUCCUGAUCCCUCGAUGACAAAACUCCACCUCGCCCGACCCACGGUCCUGGGGUCGGGAGCGCCCGACCCCUCGCCGCAGGACUCCGCCUCGUCCGACCCAGGGCGUAAGGGGUCGGACUCAUCCGGGUCCACAAGACAAGUAUCCGCCUCGGGCGCAGACUAGAGGAUAAGGGUGCGGAUCUCGUGGGUCCCCCGCCAAUCUCACCAUAAAUGCACCGCGGCCCUAGCGUGCAGAAAGGCGCCCGCGCCCCUCAACGUGACCCGCCACAAGUACCCAAGCACGACCGCCCAGCACAAGCUACAGUGGCCGCGGCUCUCCCAGAUUCGCUACAGGGCACUCAUAGCCUGCGCCGCCCAGUAUCGGAAGAGCUCCACCCGUUCUCGCGCCCUGCGUAUCUGGCGAUAGGGAUGCGACAUCCGUGUUCCAUGGGCUGCAAGCAGGACAACAGGGGUCAGCCGUCUUCCCCAACGUGCACAGUAGCCACGACCGGACAUCAUCAUCACGUUGGGCGGUAGCAGAUCGUCGACAAGAUCUGAAGAUAGCCGCCCUCCUCUAGUGGGCGCGCUGACAUGAGCCGGAGGCCGGAGCAGGAGGUGGCGACCCGAGGACUUGGUCCUUCUCCUUCUUUUUGUACUUCACUUUACUUAGCUUAUCUCUUUUACUUCUCCUCACACCUAGCUCAUCUGUAACCCUGAGCUCUCCUUGCGCUAUAAAAGGAGAACCGGGGGCCCUGAGACAGGGGGACUCGGGAGCCAAUAGAACACACACACACAGUCUCCUCUAGAACAUCAGUGCACACCCAGGAGACUUGGGACCGACUCCCUCUCUCGCCUGUUUGUAACCCCUACUACAGACCCUGCGUGGGCAACAUGAGCAGCUCCCCAUACUAGACGUAGGGCUUUCCUUGCCCGAACCAGUCUAACCCCAUGUCUUCCCACACCACCAUCCGAAGCCUAACACUCAUAAAAAAAAUUUACUUGCCGUAGUCUUGAUCUGCUAAUUUGACAAUGACAGUUGGCGCGCCAGGUAGGGGACCUUUGCGCGUACACCACCGGCUUCAGAUGGCCAGCCACGACACCAGCUUCGCUCCGGGCUCCCUCGUCCGCUUCGGGAGUCUGGACUUCCUCGCCACCAGGGAGGGGAUCGAGCUGAUCCCUCUCCUUGUCUUACCCGCUCACCCCGCCAUCUCUGGCUCCGCCGCCAGGACAAUGGCAAGCGCCUAGGCACGCGCCCCGGGGUCCCCUCCGGAGGAGCGACCCUUCGGGUUGCGCAAUGCCACGGCGACCUACAGUCGCCUCCUGGCGCGGUCCAUGACCGUGCCACCACCCUUCGUGUGAGUGCUUCAUGCCCGACGCUGGCUCCGAGGGAUCCAAUGAUGACGGCACCGAAGGGAGCCAGCGGACACCCCCACAGCGCGCCGUGGCUAUGACUGGGGCUCUUGUCAGGCCCCCGGUGCGACCACAACAGCCGGAGGCGCGCGCGGCGCCCCGCCAGGAGGUCGAGCGCCCCUGCAACGAAGGUGGGGCACGACAACGGGCGUGCGACGUCCUGCAAUGCACUUGUGCGGAUGAAGACCAGAACAUCACUGCAGCGGCGGCCUUGCUUUGAUGACUCCCUGAGCCGGCGACACCCGAGGAGCAUCAGGCGCACCAAGAGGUGCGUAACCUGCUCGAGUGCGCCGCCGUCCAGCUGGCGGAAAGCUCUGCGUCCCGGCGAUACGGGCACAACGCCAGCAGGGCAACUCCCACCGCACCUCCCGAGAGGCGGGGGGAGUCUGUGCACCAGCCUCCUCCCGGGGCGAAUCAGGCCGCGCCCGCUCGAGGGACACCGCCGCCUGCAGGAGGCGGAGCUCAGUCCGUUCACCGGCACGUCGGCCCCGUCCGUGACGCCUGCGACACCAUGGACGCGCGGAGGCACUCCCGCGCGGAUAGGGAGGAGGGUGUGGACCGCGGCUAUCAUGUCCGCUGUGGUGGCCGCUAUGACAGCGAAGAAGAUGGCAGUCCAAGCCCCAACCUGGCGGGGCCCAAGGCCUUCUCCGCACGCAUCCUGAACGCGCCAUUCCCGGCGCGCUUCAGGCAGCCUAUGAACGUGUCCAAGUACUCUGGGGAGACGAACCCCGGGCUGUGGCUUAGCGACUACCAACUUGCAUGUCAGGCCGGUGGGGUGGACGAUGACCUAUUCAUCAUCUGCAACCUCCCACUCUUUUUGGCUGACUCGGCGCGAGCCUAGCUAGAACACAUCCCUUCGGGUCGGAUCCGUAACUGGAACGACCCGAAGGAAAUCUUCGUGGGAAACUUCCAGGGCCCAUACAUGCGCCCUGGCAAUUCCUGGGACCUACGAAGCUGCCGCCAGGGGCCGGACGAGUCCCUCCGGGACUACAUCCGGUGUUUCUCCAGGAAGCGCACCGAGCUCUCCAAUGUCGCGGAUGCCAACGUCAUAGGAGCUUUCCUGGCAGGAACUUCCUGCUGGCCCCUUGUCCACGAGCUGGGACGCUGGGGCCCGUGGACCACGGAGGAGCUCCUCAACAUCGCCACUAGCUUCGCCUCAGGCGAAGAAGCCGUCGAAGUGAUCUUCGACCGUUCAAAGGGCAAGGUGAAGCGGGAGGAGGACGCCGACGAGGGGACCUCCAACCGUCAACAGAAGAAGAAGAAUAAGCAGCGGCGCGAGGCCCCCCUCGUGGCUGUUGCUGAACACAAGAGGGGACAACCGCCCCCAGAGGGCACCCCCGGUUUCUUCGACAAGCUACUCGAGGGGCCGUGCCCGAACCACGAGUUCCCUGCGAAGCACGCCUACAAAGACUGCAACCUCAUGAAGAGGUAUUUUGUAGGCAACCCAAUGAAGGGCGACCACAGAUGGAAGCCCGAGGAGGAGAAGAAGGACGGCGAGGAGAAGGAGGAUGGCUUCCCCAAGGUGGACGGCUGCUUCAUGAUCUUCGGCGGGCUGGCGGCUUACGACUCCAAGCGGCGCUGGAAGCUGGAGCGCCGCGAGGUCUACGCGGCCGAGCCCGCUACGCCAACCUUCCUCGACUGGACAAGGUCUGCCAUCACCUUCGACCAAUCCGACCACCCGGAUCGCGUCCUACAGCCAGGGCACUACCCGCUUGUCGUUGAACCCAUCGUCGGCACUACGCGCCUCACCAAGGUGUUCAUGGACGGGGGCAGCAGCCUCAACAUCCUCUACGCCGAGACUCUCGACGCCAUGGGGAUCGACCGCUCUCGCCUCCGGCCCAGCGAGGCGCCGUUCCACGGCAUCGUGCCGGGGAAACUUUUGGGACUCCUUCCAACUACAGGAAGGAGACCCGCACCUUCGAGGUGGUGGGUUUCCGCGGAACCUACCACGCUAUCCUGGGGCAGCCGUGUUACACCAAGUUCAUGGCCAUCCCCAACUACACCUACCUCAAGCUCAAGCUGCCGGGGCCCAACGGGGUCAUCACCGUCGGCACGUCUUUCCAGAAGGUGUACAAGUGCGAUGUGGAGUGCUGCGAGUACGCCGUAGCCAUCACCUGCGCAGAGGAUCCCGUGGUCCAGCUCGCGGAAAGCGCCGAGGACCCGCUCGACUCCAAGCAGUCCGCCACCUCCUUCGAGGCCACCGAAGGCGUCAAGGAGGUCCCCCUCGAUCCAAGCAGCUCCGGCGGCCGGACCGUUCAGAUCAGCGCUACCCUAUCUCCCAAAUAGGAAAGCGCGCUCGUCAACUUCCUCCGCGCGAACAGCGACGUUUUCGCGUGGAAACCCUCGGACAUGCCAGGCAUCCCAAGGGAAGUCGCCGAGCACUCCUUGAACAUCAAGGCCGGCUCCAGACCGGUGAAGCAAGGCCUGCGACGCUUCGACGAGGAGAGGCACAAGGCCAUCGGUGAGGAGCUCCAGAAGCUUUUGGCGGCCGGAUUCAUCAAGGAAGUGUACCACCCUGAGUGGCUAGCUAAUCCUGUCCUUGUACGAAAAAAGAAUAGGAAAUGGAGGAUGUGUGUUGAUUAUAUCGGUCUCAACAAGGCGUGUCCAAAGAAUCCGUUUCCUUUGCCACGUAUAGAUCAGAUAGUCGACUCAACCACCGGGUGCGAAACCCUUAGCUUCCUUGACGCAUAUUUCGGCUACCAUCAAAUCGCGAUGAAAGAGUCCGACCAGCUCGCGACCUCUUUCAUCACCCCCUUCGGCCCCUACUGCUACGUUAAGAUGCCAUUCGGCCUCAAAAACGCAGGGGCUACGUUCCAGCGAUGCAUGCUUAAGUGCUUCGGGGACCGCAUCGGGCGGACCGUCGAGGCUUACGUAGAUGACAUCGUAGUCAAGUCCAAGAAGGGCGACCAGCUCAUCCCUGACCUCGAACUAGCCUUCGAAACGCUGAGAGACAAGCGCAUCAAGCUCAACCCUGAAAAGUGCGUCUGGUGUGCCGAGGGGCAUGCUGCUGCGCUUCAUCGUCUCCGUGCGCGGCAUCGAAGCCAACCCGGAGAAAAUUGCGGCCAUCAACGACAUGGGGCCAAUCCGAAACAUAAAGGGAGUUCAGCGCGUCAUAGGGUGCCUGGCGGCCCUGAGCCGAUUCAUCUCGCGCCUCAACUAGCAGGGGCUCCCGUUCUACCGACUCCUGAAGAAGACCGACCGCUUCGUGUGGACCGCCGAGGCCCAGGAGGCGCUUGACCGGCUCAAGAACCUCCUGACGAAGGCUCCGGUCCUGGUACCGCAAACCGACGGGGAGCCACUCCUGCUCUACAUCGCAGUGACCACCCAGGUGGUCAGCGCGGCUCUGGUGGUGGAGCGAGAGGAGGAGGGACACGCCCUCAAGGUGCAGCGUCCGGUGUACUUCAUCAGUGAGGUCUUGUCCGAGUCCAAGGCGUGCUAUCCGCAGAUCCAGAAGGUCAUCUACGCCAUCCUCAUCACGAAGAGGAAGCUGCGCCACUACUUCACCUCCCAUCCCGUGAUAGUCAUCUCAUCAUUUCCUCUCGAUGACCUGAUCUGGAACCAGGACGCCACAGGACGGAUCGCAAAAUGGGCACUUGAGCUCAUGGAUCAGGGCAUCACCUACGCCCCCCGUACAGCCAUCAAGUCCCAGGUACUCGCCGACUUUGUUGCGGAGUGGACAGAGAUCCAGGCACCAUCAGCGCCAGAGAAGCAAGAUUACUGGGUGAUGUACUUCGACGGGUCGUUGAUGAAGGCCCACGCCGGAGCAGGUCUGGUCUUCGUCUCUCCUCUCGGUGUGCGCAUGAGGUACAUGAUCCGCCUCCAUUUUUCUGCAUCUAACAAUGUCGCCGAGUACGAGGCCCUCCUCAAUGGGCUUCGCAUCGCCAUCGAGCUAGGUAUCCGCUGGCUGGACAUCCGAGGCGACUCUCAGCUAGUCGUCGAACAAGUCAUGCAGGAGUGGAGCUGUCACGACCCCAAGAUGGCGGCGUACUGCGGCGAGGUCCGCAAACUUGAAGACAAGUUCGACGGACUAGAGCUCAACCAUGUCGCAAGGCGUUUCAACGAGGCCGCUGACGAACUGGCGAAGGUGGCAUCCGGUCGAAAGCCCGUCCCCGACGAUGUCUUUGUCAGCGACCAAUACAAGCCCUCGAUCCAUUACCAGGAAUCAGGAAGGGUCGGCGACGCGCCACCUGCCCCGGACUCGGGCGUCGUCCCGGGAGAGGUCGGCAACGCGCCACCUGUCCCGAACUCGAGCGCCGACCCAGGAAAGGUCGGCGACGCCCCACCUGUCCUGGAUUCGGAGGCCAACCCCUCUGACCCCGAGGUCAUGGAGAUCGACGCAAAUCCAGCAAAGGGGCCCGACCCCUCGCUUGACUGGAGAGCUCCAUACCUCGACUACCUCACCUGUGAGACACUCCUGACGAACAAGACGGAGGCACGUAGGAUUGCGCGUCGCGCUAAAUCCUUCGUCAUCAUCGACCAGGAACUCUACAAGCAGAGCCACACUGGCAUCCUCCAGCGCUGCAUCCCGAUCGAGCAGGGAAAGGCGCUGAUUCAGGACAUCCACACCGGAGCCUGCGGCCACCACGCUGUGCCAAGGACCCUAGUCGGGAACGCCUUCCGACAGGGCUUCUACUGGCCGACGGCGGUCGCCGACACCACUCACAUGGUACGCACUUGCGAAGGGUGCCAAUUCUUCACGCGCCAAACCCAUCUGCCUGCCCAGGCGCUCCAGACCAUCCCCAUCACGUGGCCCUUCGCAGUCUGGGGACUGGACCUCGUCAGGCCUUUCAAGAAGGCGCCCGGGGGCUUCACCCACCUGCUUGUCGCCGUCGACAAGUUCUCAAAGUGGAUCGAGGCGCGGCCCGUCACGCAGAUCAAAUCCGAGCUGGCGGUACAAUUCUUCACCGACAUCAUCCACCACUUCGGAGUCCCCAACUCCAUCAUCACGGACAACAGCACGCAGUUCAUCGGGAAGAAAUUCCUCCAAUUCUGCAACGACCACCACAUCCGAGUGGACUGGUCGGCCGUGGCACAUCCCCACACGAACGGGCAGGUCGAGCGAGCCAACGGCAUGAUACUCCAGGGUCUCAAGCCAUGGAUCUUCGAUCGCCUCAAAAAGUUCGGUGGCCGGUGGGUUGCGGAGCUCCCCGUAGUCCUAUGGAGUCUGAGGACGACCCCCAGUAGGGCGACUGGCUUAACCCCGUUCUUCAUGGUCUACGGGUCCGAGGCAAUCCUCCCCACCGACCCGGAGUACGGGUCGCCAAGGGUCAAGGCAUAUCACGAACAGGGGAACCAGGCGUCGCUCGAGGACGUGCAAGACCAGCUCGACGAAGCGCGCGAUGUGGCCCUGCUGCACUCGGCCAAAUACCAGCAGGCCUUACGACGAUACCACAACCGCAAGGUGCGAGGCCGAGCCUUCAACAUCGGCGACCUGGUGCUUCGUAUCAUCCAGGACAAUAGAGGCCGGCACAAGCUGACCCCUCCGUGGGAGGGCCCCUUCAUCAUCACGCAAGUACUACGGCCAGGCACGUACAAGCUGGCAACCCCUGAUGGGAAGAUCUUCAACAAUGCUUGGAACAUAGAGCAGCUAAGACGCUUCUAUCCUUAGUUUUUGUUUCCAAGUUUGUACAUACAUACUUCUGUAAAUUUUUAGUUCACGGAAAAAGGCAAUUUUGAGUUGACCUCGUUCGAGUCUCAUCCCGAGCUCAGGGAUAUCCGACCCUGGCCCUGCCUCAGGGUCGCAUAUCCCUCGGGGGCUAUCAGGGGCUUCGGCCCAAGUCACUUGACAUCUUCUCAAAACACCUUUUCUCCGAACCGACCCUCUUCCUAAACGUUUGGGCGUGGAAAGGAGAGAGUGCGCAAACGACGCCCAGGCAAGACUGAUCGGACUGCGAAAAACCUACGCCCCAGCAGCUACGGUGCCCUUGCUCAUCAGUGCUUACUGACGCGUCCGACCCAUGCUCUAAACUUCCCAAAUCUAAAAAAACAAGGAAGAGGAUCAAAAACCUUUUUCAACAAUUUCAUAAGAAAGGCCUCUACGGCCAUCACAGAAACAAGUUCAAGGUCAACUAACAUUUACAUUCUAGGGCAUCUAAGCCCGAUACAGCUAGCUCAUCCUUGGGUCCUCAGGCGGGAUGGCUUCAUCCUCCAGAAGCUUUGCCAGGGCCUCUGCUGGGUUGAGUACCGACGCAUCGAUCCCGUCCAGCUCGACCUCGGAGUAGCCGGAGGCGUAGCCCCCACUCAUCCCGGCGAAGUUGAUGCCGGAAUAAUGGGAGCCGAAGAUGCCGAAGGCCCUCCUCACGCCGACGUGGAGCGCCUCCAGAGCGAUCUCACGGGCCCGCCGGUACGUCCCAAGGACACGAGCUGCCAACGAACUUGUCCCCUCCCCCUGGACCACACCGAGGCCGUUGCAGACAACGCGGACUACGUCCCGCAGGUUGCCGUGCUUGGCGCGCUCCGCGUCAAGGACCUACCUCAGCCGGGCGAGUUCAUCUGUAAGGUCCGUCCACAGAAGUCCAAGUCAGAAACCAUCACAACACCACGAAAGCAAAGGGACAGAAGAGCCUUACCCUUGGACUCAGCCUUCGGCUCGCGCUCCCGGUCGAGUCCCUAGGCCACGGCGGUCUGAAGCCCUUGCACUUGCGCGUGGAGCUGACUGACCUCCGCCCCGAGCCCGGCCACCAUCGUCUUGGCCUCGACCUUCCGGGCUGCCUCGAAGUCCUGCUCCUGCCAAGCCUUCUGCCACUCGUGCUGGAUACGCUCGACGGUCUUCUGAAGGGCCUCAUAGUCCCCCUUUAGCCGUGCAAGCUCCUCGGCGUCAAGGCGGGCCUUCUUGGCAGCAGCCUAGAACUCCUCAAGAUUGAGGCGAGCCUUCUCGACGACAGCCUGGAACUUGUCCUCCGCCCGCCGCGCGUCCUCCCAUGCCGCCUGCUCGCGCCUGCGCAGGUUGUUGAUGACUUGCUGAGCGGCGGUGACCUGCGCGGUCAGCUCCCCGGUUUGCUGCCUCUCCGUGGAGAAGCGUUCCCAGAGCCCCCGCUCGAGCCGGAGGAAAUCGGACUUCCCCCGGCUGCAUUCCUGGAGGGCCUGCAAAACAGAUUACGCUCAGCAAAAGGAGAGCCAAGAGGAAAACAACAAUCGGGAAGAAUACCGCACCUGGCCACCGAGGAUGACGACACCGUCCAGCUCCCCCAACGCGGAAGACAAGGCAGCAUGGACAUUGGCAAGCCCGCCCUGCACCGCCUGCCACUUACCCCACUCCCCGACGUCGUCCAGCGUGAAGAGGGGUCUCUGCGGGUCAUCGCGGGACAUCCAGCGUAGAAUAGUCCCACUCCACGCCUUGGGAACGGGAUUAACCAAGACGAGGGUAGAGGUCGCUCCGGCCGACCCCGGCACUGCCGUCCCCGAUGCCGCCGCCGGGGCAGGCGCCACCGCUCUGGAUGCUGCCAGCCUCGUCGACGGCCCCGACACGUGCGCCGCCGCCCCUGUCGAAGUCGCCGCGGCCGUCGUCGACGCCGAUGUGCGUCCUGAUCCACCCGCCGUCGCCACUGUCUCCGUCGCGGUUGCCGAAGCGAGCGUUCCCGUUCCCACCACCACCGCGGCCUUCGUCGCAACUACCGAGGCUAGUGUCCCCGCCUCCGUCGUGGUCGCCGGGGUAGGCACCCCCACCUCUGCCGCCGCCAUCGUCCCUGUCGCGGUCGUGGGGACGGACUUUCCCUCCUCUGCCACUGCCGCCGUCUCCGUCGUGGUCGCUGGGGCAAUUGCCCCCACCCCCGCCACCGUCAUCUCCGCCGUCGCCGUCGGGGCCGUAGGCUCCACCGCCUCGUCCUCGAGGUCUAUCACCUCGCCGGUCGGAGGGACCCCAGGGGCAACACCCUACCCCGCAGGGUCGGCCGUGGAGGCGGAGGGCGGAGCAGGGGUCGAACCCUGCCCCGUGCCCAGCUGCGACGCCCUCCCUUCGGUUGCCACCGCGGGAGCCACCUCCGCGGUCUUCCCGGUGACACCGCCGCUCGCUGCCGGCGAGGCCGCGGCCUGCUCCGUGGAGGCGGACGAUGCCCACAACGCUUUCAUUGGCGCCAGCGGCGGGACGAAGUCCUGAGGGGCGGCACUGUGAAACAAUGAACAACAUCAGCAAAAAACAGCUCGAUGCCAGGGAAGGGAUAAGAUGCGCAAGGAAUUUCCACUUACACUCCCUCGGCGCGAGGGCGGCGGGCGCGUUUCGCCUCCGAGCCUGACGCCGACCUCGGGGCAUCUGGCAACGGCCGCUUGCCGCUGCUUCUUUGCUCCUGGGCCGCAGGCAGGGGGUCGGGGGUCAGCUCCGUCGACUCCCGAAGCGCGCCCCGCGCUGACCCCUGAGGCGCGGUCCCAGAGCUUUGCGGGGUCGAGUCCUAGGCAGGCGGUCCGCUAAGCUUGUCCCCCGCGGCCGUUUGCGAGCGCUGCUCCCGGAUGACGAGCACGCCCGGCCGGGGGGCCAGAAUGAUCUCCUCCUCCUCUUCCUCCUCCUCGUCUUCCUCCUCUUCCUCUUCAUCGUCAUCGUCAUCAUCGUCUAACACGACCUGGCCCUUCCACACCGUUGGAACUCCUUGGCGGCCUUCCUUUUCUUCCUCGCCGUCUCCUUGUCCUUGCGCUUCUUAUGCUUCUCAGCAAGGAGACGAUUCUGCUGCCGCCGCUCGGCGUCCUCUGGCACUAGCGCGUGCGAGUCGACGACAUUGGUCAUGUGGCCCUACAGACACGAAAGCUCCGCGUCAGAGCGACGAACCAAAAAAUGCAGGAAAAAGAAAUGAGAGCAUGAAUCCCUCCCCAGCUCGACGAAAUUCUCGUCCGGGCACAUCGGAGGGUGGCCAUGCACUGGGUAAUUGGCGUCCUUGUCGUCCAAUGCCUCCUGGACCCACUGUUGGAUCUCGGUGGCGGCGAGCGCACCCGUCGCAAGGAUGGUGCCCUCGGUCGGCGCGCCGGGAGCCAUCUCAGCGAGCGAGCGAACCUGGAGCAUCAACAGCGCCACCCUCCGAGUGUGGUACACCCCGAUAACUCCGGCCCCGGUCAGGCCUUUUCCCUUCAGGUACUCGAUGGCCUGAAGCAAACCGGCGAUCCGCUUCUUCUCCUUCUCCAUCGGGCCGUACGACCACAGCUCCGGCGCCGCUUCGAUGACGCGGCCGGUGAACACCGGCAAGGGGGAGUUAGAGUAGUUCUUCACAUAGAACCACUGCUGAUGCUACCCCUUGUGGGACGCCGCCGUCUUCAUCGCCAUGUAUUCCUUGGCGCGGGUAUGGCGGAGGUGGAUGCCGGUGCACCCUAUCGGCAUUGGGGUCGCCCGCUGCCGGCUCCCCUUCUUCUUGGCCUUCUGGUACAAGCUGACCACAAAGAAGUACUUCCAGAGCGAGAAGUUGGGCUCGAUGCCCAGGAACCCCUCACACAGCGUGACGAACGCCGCAAUGUGUUGGAUCCCAUUGGGAUUGAGGUGCUGCAGCUCAAGCCCGUAGUAGUGUAGCAGCCCGCGGAAGAAGAGGCUCGGCGGGGUCGCGAUCCCUCUAUCAUGGAAGUGGGCGAACGACACGACGUAGCCGGCGGGUGGACUCGGCACCUCUUCCAUCUCGGGGAACUGCCAUUCGCCCCUCUCGGUCCUCUCGCAGAGGAGGCCUUUCCUCGUAAGGCCGUCGGCGCACGAGGUACCGAAGCUUGAGCGUGCCCAGGAACCCAUCGCGGAGGGGGGAAAGGUCCAACGGCGGAGGGUGAGGAAAGCAGCUGCGCUAGGCGGAGGAAGGCGGACAGCGCGCGAGAAGGUGAAAAGACUUGGGAGCAGUUGCGGGCAGAACCAGCGAGGCGGACUCCCCGUCUUAUAGGAAGGCGCGUGGGAAGCAAAACGGGUGGCCUCAUCGCAAUAAAUGCGGCGCCAGGUACACCCCGUCACGCCCGCCUUUUUUGGAAGUCGUGCGCACGACCUGCAGCAGGAAAACAUCCCCUCCUCCAUUGUUUCGCGGGCUGGCAUCUUCCGCCACUUCUUCGCCUCCCGAGGAACGCGCGCACGCAACCUCCUCCACGACCGACCCAGGGCCUAUCAAUAGGUAAAAAAGGGAUACGGGACCGAAAACGCCCCUACGGCCCAUUACGAUCCAGCAGUUCGAAGGCCGGCCCACUACAGGUUCAACAGCCGCCCCAGGAUAACCCCGAGCGAGGGGUGAGAAGGGACGGGCCCGCUAGCGGCCAUCACCCGGGCGCACGACAACCUAGGGCGUCCCGACCUCACAUUCGACUCCGGACUGGCAUCAAAGUUCAUGGUUUUUCCCUGAAGAAAGGCAACGAGCCCCCGGGUCCGAGCGAAUGGAUUCGGGAACUAUAUGAACUGGCCGGCCGAAAUCUGGGGUACGCCACCAGCUUUGCCCAAGCCGGACCCCCCCCCCCCCCCCCCGCCCGAACGGGGACCGAGACCCCACUCGAAUCGACCCGUUUGCAGCUCAACGAGCACCACGGUUCGUCCGGCGAGGAUAGCAUGGCACGGCUCACCCCCUCCAUCUCAGCGAACGGAUGCUUGAGGGGCAAUGUUCAAAAGUCGAUCUAGCCUCCUGACCGGUCUCCUGCAGCGUGGGGGGGCUCAGGGGCAAGCCUCGCAACUAACGAUCACCCGUGUGGUCGCAAUUUCGGGUCUCAAGGAGGGAGUGCACUACGAAACGACGAAGGAUCAUCCUAUGCCAAGACAUCCACAAGACGCUCCGCCUGAUCAAUCUCUUCGGCCAAGCCGGGCAAACAACACACCCUAUCCCUGAUUAACUGCAGUUCGCCCAGCGAGUAGAGAUCCCUGACGAACGCCGAAAGCAGCCUCUGGAGGAGCGUCCUCGCUCCACCACAGGCUCAGGGGCUACUGUUGGGGGGAGAUAUUAAUGACCUCCUAAUGACCCUCAAAACAACAAUCAUGAAGCCCCAGGCCCACCUACGGUGAAGACGUUUGCCGCUGGCACAGCAUGAGCAGAGAGCGUCACGCUCCAUCUCGCCCGACCCAGGGCCCAAGGAUUGGGCACUCCCGAUCCCUCGAUGACAAAACUCCACCUCGCCUGACCCAUGGUCUUGGGGUCAGGAGCACCCGACCCCUCGCUGCAGGACUCCACCUCGUCCGACCCAGGGCGUAAAGGGUUGGACUCAUCUAGGUCCACAAGACAAGUAUCCGCCUCGGGCGUGGACUGGAGGAUAAGGGUGCGGAUCUCGUGGGUCCCCCGCCGAUCUCGCCAUAAAUACGCCGCGGCCCUGGCACAUAGAAAGGCGCCCGCGCCCCUCGACGUGACCCGCCACAGGUACCCAAGCACGACCGCCUAGCACAGGCUACAGUGGCCACGGCUCUCCCAGAUUCGCUACAGGGCACUCAUGGCUUGCGCCGCCCGGCAUUGAAGGGAGCUCCGCCCAUUCUCGCGCCCCGCGUAUCUGGCGACAAGGAUGCGACGUCCGUGUUCCAUGGGCUGCAAGCAGGACAACAGGGUUCAGCCAUCUUCCCCAACGUGCACAAUAGCCGCGACCGGACAUCAUCAUCACGCUGGGCGGUAGCAGAUCGUUGACAAGAUCCGAAGAUAGCCGCCCUCCUCCGGUGGCCUCGCUGACAUGAGCCGGAGGCCGGAGCAGGAGGUGGUGACCCGGGGACUUGGUCCUUCUCCUUCUCUUCGUACUUCACUUUACUUAGCUUAUCUCUUUUACUUCUCCUCACACCUGGCUCAUCUGUAACCCUGAGCUCUCCUUGCGCUAUAAAAGGAGAACCAGGGGCCCUGCGACAGGGGGACUCGGGAGCCAACAGAACACACACACUCUCCUCUAGAACAUCAGUGCACACCCAGGAGACUUGGGACCGGCUCCCUCUCUCACCCGUUUGUAACCCCUACUACAGACCCCGCGUGGGCAUAGGGCUUUCCUUGCCUGAACCAGUCUAACCCCGUGUCUUCCCACACCACGAUCUGAAGCCUAACGUGCAUAAAAGAAAUUUACUUGUCGUAGUCUUGAUCCGCUAAUCUUGACAACGACAACUAAUACUCCGCAAGACUUACCCGUCAAUUGGUAUCUAAUCCACCAACUCCUAGACAUGCAAGGCUUUUUGGCUGAGGGGUUUGUUUUUGCCAAAAGUUUCUAAAGUAGAUCCUUACUUUCAAGUUUUAACAUCAAGUUCUAAUUGAUUAACCAAUCUAGAUAAGCACUUAUUCUAAUCAAGCAUCAAUAUUAAUCAUCAACCUUUGUUCCUCUUCUUACUCGGUGCCGAAAGGCAAUCAAGCAAUCCCAAGCUGUAAGAAGUAGAUGAUUUGAAUUGAAUUUCUUAACCUUGCAAGUUGGACCUAAACACACGACAUACGCGUACCACACCGGGUUCACAUAUGUCACCCGCCCCCAUCGAUCCCCGGCACAUGUUCAGGUCCCACUUCCCUUGGAUACAAGGCUCCACUGGUCCCGGAACGACACCGUACCGAGGCUGCACUUGUACCCACAUGAUGCAUCAGGGGAACUCGGUUCCAGAGAGAGCGGGGAGUAUGUCCAUGCCCUGGUUCAAUCAGGUAUUAGGCUUACCGAUCCCAUACUCAGUAUGUGCUUGGUACUUUCAAACACUUUACCACAACUCUAGCACAUUUUGACCUUAGCAGUUUUCCUCUAAAUAGAAGGAGCAUCCACCAAUUCCAAAACAUAUUACCAAGCCCCGCCCGUCAACCUUAUGAUUCCAACAUAAGUAAACAGGCAACUCCUAUAGCUCGCGAGUGAUAGGAAAUCACUCAACUUUUACCAUGUCCCUAUUUAGCAUAGCAACUACUCGACUUAUCAUGCUAGUAUUCAACGUAUGGGUACUAGGAGCAUGCAACUAAGGUUUCAAGAAACUCCUAUGAACUUAAUGCACAAACAUAAGUAACAAAAGUAUUGCAUAAGGUUGGAAACCAAGGUUAUGCUUCGGGGCUUGCCUGUGGCUCUUCCAAAUCUUGGCUCAGGUCUUGUGUGGUCUCGAGCAGGUUCACCGCAGCAUACUAUUGUUCUUCAGCUUUCGAGAUCAACGCGUAGGUACCUUCAGCGAGAUUAGCUUCUACAAGAGAUGCACGUGCAUAAGUUUUCAAUUACUUGCUUUCAUGGUGUAGGUUGUAUUUCAUUCACAUUGUAAAAUCUUAGAGUGCAUUUGGACCACAUUCACCUAGACAAUAUUUUAAACCUUUCUUUCUUUUGGCCACAUUCACCUAGACAAGACUUUAACAAAUCUUUUCUUCGUAAAACAAGGUGGGUUGUGAAUAAAAUCUGGGUUUUACUUUGAUGGUGAUUGUGUACACAUAUAAGAUUCUAACAACAUAGAAUUCAUAAAAGAAAGGUGGUGUCAUGUUGGUACUGUUUGGCAAUCAUUUCAAAAGUUAUCCUGUUUCUGAAUAAAAACAUAAUUAAUCAUUUUGCUAGUCCACCAUUUCUAGUAGCAAUUUGUAUUAAUAAAUAAACUAGCUCUUAAAAAUAAACAAAUGUUUCUGGAAGCAUCAGUUAAGAUAUGAACAUGAAAUUUUUACAUAAGCUUUCCCCUACACAAGAUAUUUACUGCAAAAAUUUAGGAUGCAUUUGACAUCUACAGAAUUUGUUAAAAACCAAACAGUAUUAAAUUGUAGAACAUGAAGAUUGAUUUUUAACUAGAUUUCUAUCAUCAGUUUGGUUCCACAAAUUUUACAGAAGGGUUACCAACACUAAUAUAUGCUAUUGUAAAACUUCUCAGGAUUUUAUAUGCAUGAGAUCUGUUUAUUACAUAAAAAGGAGAUUAAACAACACGUAUUUUCUUAAGCAAUGAAAAACACAUACUUUACAGAAACAAGUAUUUUUACUAGUCAGACAGAUACUUUAUAGGCGGCGCUCGGCGGUGAGGAUUCAGGGGCGGCUUGAGGGCUUUGUCUUCGGUGAAGGCGGCGGCGGAGAUGGCUAGGGAAGGGCUCGGGAAGGUGGCGUGUGGCUCUGGUGGUGCUCUGGAGGGCUCGGGUGGCGGCGGUGUGGCUUGGAGGUAGGAGCUCGACGGCGGGUGUCAAAGGCGACACGGCAAGCUUCGGUGCGGGGGUGAAAGGGUGGUGCCGGCGAGCUGGGCGCUGCCCUUUUAUUGCAGCAAAGUGGCAAGAGGAUAAGGCAACGCCCAUGACAUGCUCAUGGCGCAUUGGGCAGGCCGGAGGCGGCCCGGCAUAGGCGGCAGGGUGGAGGGGGCACGCGUUGGCUGGCGGUGGCGUGAGCAGCUGCCGCGCGUGUGGCCUGCGUUCCGCGGUUGGCCGACGGAGAUGUGGCAUGGGGAGAGGGAGAUUGCGAGGGCGCGGAGUGGGCAGCGGCCGCGCUCGUCCCGUCUUGUCGCCGAUGGGGGUUGGCCAAGCGGCAGAGGCCAGCCAGGCAGCACGACAUGGCGACGUCGCACGCGCCGUGCGCGAUCACCGCGGAUCCGAGCGCACAUGGGCUUGCCAUGGUGCGCAAGGGCAACAGCUUUCAAGCAAAUUUUCUGCAAAAAUUUGAACUAAACUUUGAAAAAUUCAAAUGUAGAAGUUGGAGUUUGAACUAUGGACUACAAGUUCUACAAAAGCUGACAGUGAAAUUCACAGCACAUUUGGAGAUAAACUCGUGCAAACUUUGGUAGAACGUCGGGCAAGGUUGAAUUUGAAUUUGACCCAAAUUUGACUAAAUUUUGAUCUAAUUUUUGAGUGUCUUCCACUCAAAAUCAGAGAAAGUGCAAAUUAUGAAAGUUGCUUAGUUUGAAAAGUUAUACAACUUUUAUAUUGGCCAAAAGUUGAGUUCCUAUAUAAAAAUCUGUUUUUAUUUCUUACCCAAUUAAGUGCCUUUUAGGGGUGUUUUCAACACUUAGAAGAAUUUUGAAGUGUUUUUGAAUUUGACAUUUGGCAAGUUUGGUUUGUUUCUAAUCUCCUCCUUAAUUUCUCUUGUUUUGUUCUUUUAAACACUAGGGAUGUCACACUUUUUAGUCCCGGUUGGUAACACCAACCGGGACUAAACCUGGGACUAAAGGACCAUCUUUUGUCUCAAAAAUUUUAUUCCAGUUGGGCAUUGGAGAGAUAUGGUCCUUACCAACUGGGACUAAUGCUCAGUUUUCUAGCCGUGAGUGAGGGGAGUGUUCACCUUACUGAAAGCUGCAAGAGCCUGACCUUGUACCACUAUCCUUGCAUGUAUAAAAUGAGAUGCAUGAUAUGGAAUAUAGUUUGAUUAUAUUUUUCUUAGGUAGUUCAUCACGUCCCAUGUGGUUACGAAAGGUAACUAGUGAGGUAAGUGGGUCUUUACACAUGGUUAGAGAUUAAGUACAUGUCCACAAAUGCACAGUGUUGGUGUUUAAACCGGCAACCUACCAAGGAUACCCUCAGGUAGUAGAUUGAUCGGCAGGUCUUCGCCAAGACACGAACCCGAAGGUGAACAUGAGACACGACUUAAAUACGUUCAGGCUAUUGGAAUAACAUAGUACCCUACAUCAUAUGUGAUGUAUUUUCUUGUGUUAGUGUUAGAUGUGUUUUAAAGGGUCCCUGCCUCACCUUAUGUAUUCAAGGGUAGGAUUACAGGCCAAUUUUCAUGAAUCAUAGCCAAUUAAGAUGGGAAGAGCCCUAUCCUAAUUACAGACAAGUACUUUCCUAUUAUCUAACUAGUUCUGUCUCCUGAUUGGGCAGCUUCGCUGUGCUGCAUCGUCGCUUCCAUCAUGAGUACUUGACCCAGGCCAGCCUAUCCCUUCCCAGAGUAUACAUGCCAUGCAUCUUAGAAGACCCAUGGAUCCUAGGCCGUCACAGGGUAUUUAUUUCUCUCACUAUGUGCGAUCAAGGCAUGCAAGAUGAAAGUCAUGCUGACAAUGUUGUAAUCCACGCCCAGGGCAUCGAAGCUGUAUGUGGGGGAAAAACUAGAGCAGCUUGAUGCUCAAACUAGGCACAUCCUAGACUAGCCAUAUUUAAAAGUGAGAGCACAUGACGCGAUCGAGAUGGAUGCGACAAAGAUGUCUCAAAGGAUUGCAAAGAUACAUGCUCAGGAUAUGAUAUGUUACCUUACUUUCAUUGCAUUGUAAGUGUAUUGUGCUGGUCUCAAUUAUUACAGUCCUCCAACAAUGUAUACCUUAACACAUAUGAGUAGGCUAUUUUUCUUUUAUUUUUAAUUGUUUUUAGUUUUUUAUUUCAAUCUCUAUAUCUAACACUGUUACUAGAUUAUGACUUUGUUGUUCAUAAGUCCUUCAAUAUAUUCUUAAACCUGAAGCAACAAUAUGUGAAACCUAAAUCUAUGUUUUAGGCAAAGUACUUCAAUAUUUUUAUAGGAAUGUUUUUUUUUGUGUAGACGAUAUAAAUUAAUAGCAAUCUAUUUUUCUUAGAUCUAGCAUCAUAUUUGAAAUAACAUUUCUUCUUGUAAAAGAUACAUAUGAGUUUUCACCUAAUCUGUGUUGCCCAUAAGAUGGUUUCCAAAUAACAUGAAACUUUUCGAGUAGAUGCUAAAGACCCAUUUUACAUGGAACUAGUACCAUAGCACCUAUUAUAGAUUUGGAAUAAAUGUUCUCCCAAAAAAAUUAUAUUACAAUUGUUAGGUGAGUUGUUUACCCUUCAUAUGGUUUUUGAAAAUCUUAGAAUUUUUUAGUAGAUGAUAUAAAUAAAUAGUAAAUUACUUUGGUUAGAUCUGGCAUCAUAGCUGUUGUACAUUUUUCUAAUAAAAUCUUCUUGCAGAGCUAUAUUUGGUUUUUCAUAUAAGUUGUUUACCGGUAACAUGAUUUCAAAAAAUCAUGAAUUUUUUUAGUAUAUGCUAUAAGUUAAAAGAGAUCUAUUGUCCAUGGAUCUGGCAUCACAGCUGUUCUAGACUUCAAAUAAAAUUCUUCCAGAAAAUCUAUAUUUGAGUUUUUAGCUAAGUUGGGUAUUCUCCAUAUGGUUUCCAAUAAUCAAAUAAAAAUCACCUAAAUUCGGUCUGAAUUCUGAAAUCUAAAUAGUUGUAUUUUAAUUAUUUAUUUUGCAGUAUAGGUGCCUUGGUAUUAACUAUAUCAUGCAAAUUUAAUUUGUAUAUACAAAUAUCAAUGCAAAUUUGGAUAUACAAAUUUGGACAACUCAAAUUUGGCUCAUAGGGAAAAAACUAAAUGUUUAUGGAUUCAUAAUGCUUAGUUGAUUUAUAAAGGUUAAUGCAUAGUGGGUACGGUCUCAUCUUGACCGAAAUAGCUGUCAAAAAGCACCGCAAACAUUAAAGCCCAUAACUCUAGAGUGGAAAACAUAAGUCACUGUUUUUUAUGCUUCACUUAUUUAUUGAAAUUUUGUUGGCUUGACAAGCACAGGUAAAAGCAUAGUGAACAUGCGAACUGAGCAGCUAGCAGGUUUUCUUUGGCUGGAAUCUGCCCACCCGGUUUAGUCCUCGAUUCGGCAUGAGUGGUUGCAUUUUUUUUAUUUAUUUCAAGAUUUAAGUGGCAUUAUUCUUUCAGUGUUAGGCAAUGUGCCUAUCGAUAGCGAGACGCCUAUGUUGACUUCAUCAAUCUUGAUAUUUGCUAGCUCAGUCUCUCAGGAGUGCUCAUAGUCAUACGGGUAGGAUUGUAUGCAUGUGUGUAUUCAUAGUAGUGAGUAUGCGUGCAUGUAUAUGAGGGUCUUCCUCUGAUUGUGUUGAAAAAAGAACUAGUAAGUGUUUGAACUCACAUCUUAUGAAGAUAGGGUUCCAUUAGCUCAUAUCGCUUCAAGAAUUUUCAUUAUUACUGACAGUUCUUUCAAGUGGUCUACAGUGUCUAGAAUGUAAGUUGCCCAACAGUUUUUAGCAUGUUAAUUAGCUAACGGUGUUUGUAGUACAAUUUUACAUCACCCCUCACGGUUUUGAUGAACUACCAACAAUAUAAACCCCUACAACAUUAUCCCAC